Molecule: long non-coding RNA, 46307 nt
Filed under: Gossypium barbadense (sea-island cotton)
Lineage: Eukaryota; Viridiplantae; Streptophyta; Magnoliopsida; Malvales; Malvaceae
Description: long non-coding RNA (GBAR_LNC016767)
Rfam family: MIR7502 microRNA precursor family (bases 35637-35781)
Source: RNAcentral
GCAAGACUGAGAGACCUUAGAGAAGAGGAUAGAUUCAUGAAGACAUGAGCAUUAACAGAAGCCAUCUCCAUUCCAUCCAAAAACAGAUGUCUGACCUCGGUUAGGUUUUGAACAAGUCCCUCCAGAGCAUGUUUGUCUCCUACAAACCCUGUACUGGAAAGGUCGAGGUAGAGUAGGCUUGUAAACCGACCUAACUCGGAUGGAAUUUCGGAAAGAUUAAACUCAUUGUAGGCAAGGUUGAGUUUUUGAAGGUGAGGAAGAAGGAAGAGAGUGGAAUUGGAAGGGAAGUUGCCAUAUAGCCAACUGCAGCUCAAGUCAAGGGCAAUAACAUGAGCAUUUAGGUGGUCACAAGUGACCCCAUCCCAUGAGCAGCAAUCUGUACCCUCCUUCCAUGAAUUUGUCUUGGGAUAAGAUUUAUGGCCAGCAAUCUCAUUGCAAUAAGAAGAAGCGUCCUCUGUUAUGGAAAAAGAGUCCUUAAACUGGAUUAGUGAAGAGCAGGAGUGAGAUCCAGAAGAAGAAAAAGAAGCAUAAAGAUGGGGAAAGAAGAGGAAUAGGCAGAGGAAGAGAUAGGGGGCCAUGUUAUGUCUGUAGAGGAAGAUGAAGGAUAGGAAUGGUAUUUAUAGGCAACAAAUAAUACCGCAGUGUUACAGUCUUUUUUUCUUUUACAUUGAGAAGCUAUGGAGAUUAGAUUUUCAAAAUUUUUGUAUUUUUAACAAUCAUCAACAGUCACUUAGUCUUCUUUUUACCAUAUAUUUUUCAUUCUUAAAAUUGGAUGCUAUCUUUUCGCAAAAUCUUGUGGAAAUUCUUUAGCCUUCUUCUCUAUAACACUUAAAGAAUGUGUGUAUGUAUUCAUUUGCCUGUCAACUAAAGCUAAUUAAUGUGGAAAUUCUUUUCCACCCAAAAGAACAAAAUUGUGCUCUAUUCAUUAAGUUUGAGGAAGAAGAUUGCUGGAAAUUUAAUCUACCGAUUCCAUAAAAAACGUGUAUACUUAUAUAACCUCAUAAUUCAAAUCUAAAAUCUCAUUUGUUAUAAAUUCUGAUAAAUUUCUUUGGAAUUGCUAUUUUUCAUUUGUUAAUUAUUUCUCUUUUAAUCGAGUAAAAAAUUAAAACUAAAAAGACAUAAUGAUUUAUUUGGCAUUUUUAAACUUUACAAAUAAAAAAUCAUUUUAGCUUUUCAUUUUUUUAUCUCUAUUAAAUCACCCAAAAAAAAUAAUGAAAAAGACUAACAAAACUAGCACCUACGUGGCUGAUGUUGACCCUUAGUAGUUAAUGACAACAUCUACGUAGUUGUUAACAGAUACCACACUAACACUGUUUGUUGACGUGACAAUGCCACAUGAUCAAUAAUCACCGACAUGGUAGCGCCACGCUAUCGCCCAUUGGUGACAUAUUGAUGUUUGAGUUAAACUCAAAUUACUAUUUCCUUUGUUAUAAAUUAAGAGUAUAACUAAUUUUGAUAAGAAUGAUUACUUUUCAUUAACUCAGUCUAAAGGACUAUAACACGUAAAGUUUGGCCUAUUGCAGAAUUCACAUGCAAUGCGGGGCAUUUACAUUAUGCAGAAUUCGGCACAUAUAUGGGAAUUUUUGUAUUUCCACAAUCAUCAUGUUGUUCGUGAUCAACAACUACUUCCUUUUUACCAUAUAUUUUUCAUUCAUAAAAUUGAUUACUUUUUUUUUUACGAAAGAAGUAAAAUUAUUAACAUUCAUGAUAUUACAAAGCCUUCUUCCUUAUAACACGUCAAGUUUGGCCCCAAAUAAUUUUCCAGACAAAAGAAUUAAGAGGAAGGAGACUGCUACAGAUUGACUAUACUUUUAACUCCACAAACAAAGACUAAGACUAUCAAUUGUCUAUUGACUACACUUUAACUCGACAAAAACAGAUUGACUAUACUUUUAACUCCACAAACAAAGACUAAGACUAUCAAUUGUCUAUUGACUUCACUUUAACUCGACAAAAACAGACUAAUAAGACUUUGGUUGGCUGUAAUGGGCUAUUGACUAUACUUUAACUCCGCAAAAAAAGACUAAGGCUAUCAAUUGUCUAUUGACUUCACACUUGCUGUUGCUUCCUCCUAUCUCUAUCACUUGCUUCCUCCUAUCUCUAUCACCCAAACUUAAUUUACAAGCAAUGUGGAAAUUUUGGACAUUUGGGCCACAAUGUACAAUACUUCCACACCAUUUGCAGUAUUGACUACGUUUACUUGAGGGCAAACAAAGACAUGAAUGCUGGAAAUUUUAACUAGUUUGUACCGUCAAUGAAGCUACGUACCUAAAAGCAAUGUAUUAUCACCGUCUCCAGAAAUUUUGCUAAUUCAAUUUCCCAAGAAAUAUGAUUAAUUUUGGUUAAAUUGGAGUGAACAUUACUAUUUCUGUUUUAGCAAUUAAAGCAACCUAUAUGUACCCUUUUACAGUCUGCAUUGUUCCAUGUUUCCAUUCAUUACAUCAUUCCUUCAACUCUGCUAUAUAUUAUCACCGUCUCCAGAGAACCAAACCUUUUACUGCUAACUUGUAAAAAAAUUAUGAAAAUACAACAGAGAUUAUUGAGACAUUGUUGAAGUUGGCUUGCAUGCAGUAGACAUUGUUAAUCUUAUUAUUAUUAUUAUUAUUAUUAACUCAUGAACCCAUGGUUACACUUCCAACAGAGGUGAGAGAGGUUAAGAGUAGCCAUGAGCCAUCUAGUCAUGCUCCUGUUGUUGAGGAUGCCUCUGAAACUGCACAAGCUCUCAGCCCGAAUUCAAAUCUAAAAUCUCAUUUGUUAUAAAUUCUGAUAAAUUUAUUUGGGAAUUGCUAUUUUUCAUUCGUUAAUUAUUUCUCUUUUAAUCGAGUAAAAAAUUAAAACUAAAAAGACAUGAUAAUUUACUUGGCAUUUUUUAACUUUACAAACAAAUAGUCAUUUUAGCUUUCCAUUUUUUUUUUCUCUUUUAGCCUUGAAACUUAUAUGGUUCCUUAAAUCACUCCAAAAAAAAUGAUGAAAAAGACUAACAAAUUCUAGCACCUACGUGGCUGAUGUUGACCCUAGUAGUUAAUGGCAACACCUACGUAGUGGUUAACAGAUACCACACCAACACUGUUUGUUGACGUGACAAUGCCAAAUGGUCAAUAAUCGCUGACAUGGUAGCGCCACGCCAUCGCCCAUUGAUGACAUGUUAACCUUUGAGUUAAACUCAAAUUACUCUUUCCUUUGUUAUAAAUUAAGAGUAUAAAUAAUUCUGAUAAGAAUAGUUACUUUUCAUUAACUCAGUUUAAAGGACUAUAACACGUAAAGUUUGGUCUAUUGCAGAAUUCACAUGCCAUGCGGGACGUUUACAUUAUGCAGAAUUCAACACAUAUAUGGGAAUUUUUGUAUUUCCACAAUCAUCAAAUAAUUUUCAUAAAUUGAUUACUUUCUUUUUACCAUAUAAUUUUCAUUCAUAAAUUGAUUACUUUUUUUUUACAAAAGAAGUAAAAUAAUUAAUAUUCGUGAGAUUACAAAGUCUUCUUCCUUAUACACGUCAAGUUUGGUCUCAAAUAAUUUUCCACACAAAAGAAUACUUUUAACAAUCAAUUGUCUAUUGACUAUACUUUGAACUCCACAAAAAAGACUAAGACCUUCAAUUGUCUAUUGACUACACUUUAACUCGACAAAAAAAGACUAAGACUAUCAAUUGUCUAUUGACUAUCAAUUGGUUCCAUGACAAGUCUAAAUAUAUGAGCCACAAGAGGUUCCCCAAUGAUCUCGAAAUUGAUCCCCGUAAAUUGGAAUUAGAGAGAGACAAAUAUUUCAAGACAUGCAGGUUGUCAAUCAAAUCAAUCAAUUUCGUAAAGGAGGACAUCCAUGACAGAUCCAAAUGUUCAAAAUUACUGCUCUGAUUGAACUUCAGAAGAUCAAGACUAAGGAUUCGGUUGUAUCCUAAGUUGAGCAAAUUGAGGUUUGGCGAAUGAAGAAUGUUUCUUGAGAACUUUCCUUGCAAAUCACAACCACCAAGACUGAGAGACUUUAUAGAAGAGGAUAGAUUCAUGAAAACAUUAGGAUUAAUAGAAGGCAUGAUAAUUCUAACAAGAAAAAGAUGUGUCACCUCAGUUAGGUUGUGAACAAGUCCCUCCAAAGAAUUUUAUCAAGAGUUAAUUGGUGAGAAAAAACAUUAUGAGAGAGAUCAAGUGAAACCAAAUUUGACGAGUGGGAGAUUUGGGAUGGGACUUUUCCUGUAAAUAACGUUUUUUAGAUGUUAAGAUACACCAGCCUUGUAAACCGACCGAACUAGGAUGGAAUUUUGGAAAGAUUAAAAUCAUUGUAGGCAAGGUUGAGUUUUUGAAGGUGAGGAAGGAGGAAGAGAGUGGUAUUGGAAGGGAAGUUGCCAUAUAGCCAACUGCAGCUCAAGUCAAGGGCAAUAACAUGAGCAUUAAGGUGAUGACAAGUGACCCCAUACCAUGAGCAGCAAUCUGUACCCUCCUUCCAUGAAUUUGUCUUGGGAUAAGAUUUAAGGCCGUCAAAAUCAUCGCAAUACAAAGCAGCAUGGUCUGUCUGAGUGAUCGAAAAUGAAUUCUUGAACUGGAUUAGAGAAGCAGCUUCGUGGUGAGAGCAGGAGUGAGAUCCUGAAGAAGAAGAAGCAUAAAGAUGGGGAAAGAAGAGGAAUAGGCAGAGAGAGAGAUAGGGGCCAUGUUAUGUUUGUAGAGGAAGAUGAAGGAUAGGAAUGGUAUUUAUAGGCAACAAAUAGAAUCCAAUAUUAAACAAAAGCUUUGAUGAUUAAUACCACAACACCACUGUUACAGUGUUGUUUCUUUUAUGGUAUAAAGAUUGUUAUUGGAAGAGUUUGAAAUGCUGACAUUGAAAACCUAUAUUUUUCAAUACUCAUCAACAACCACUUCCUUUUUACCAUAUCUUUUUCAUUCCCAAAAUUGGAUACAUUGUUUUACCAAAAUUUUGUAUUUCAUUUGAACUCCCUAAACAACUGAGAAAAUUAACAUUGAUGAGAUUACAAAAUAGAUUGACUUAGUCUUCUUCCUUAUAAUACGUAAAAAAAAAUGUGAGUGUCUAUUCACUUAUAAUAUUUCCAUGCUAGAGGUAGUUUUUGGAAAAUCUUUAAUUAAACCUUAAUUUCAUUUUGUUAAAAUUUUUAACUGGAUUAUCGAAUUGGCUUCUGAUUGUAGGUUGAUCAAUGAUGGGCUGAUUUCUUCUUCUUCUUUUUUAAUUUUUUUAGGGUUUAUAAUAUACUGCUUAAUGUUGUUGAUUUAUUUUUCUGAUCAUCGUUUCAUUCGUUUGUUGAAGAUAACUGAAUUUUUAUUGGUUGUAAUUGGACUUGGGUUUUAGCCAAUGACUAUAAUCAAAGGGUUAAUUUAAGGUUCGAAUGAAUUAUUUGAAAAUUUUAUUAUUUUUCUUUUCAAUUAGUUGUUUUACAAGGAUUUAACUUAUAUUAGUCAAAUGAACUGGGUUUAAAAAAUGAACAAGAACGAAGAAAUUGGAUGGUUGACUGGACACUGGAAAGGGGAAAAGCUAAAAGUUGUAAAUGUUUUGAAUAUAGAGUUGUAUUCUUUUCAUGGCUUCAGAAAAAUGUAUGCAAUGUUUGGCCAGCGAUAAUGGACAAGUUUUUUUAAACCUCCAUGCCUAAGUCAUGCUUUCAUAAACAUGGGCAGCUAACACCGAGAAGUCAGUAAGCGAUUUAAAAGUGAAGCUCAUAUGCGUCAUUGCUACUCGCUUUGCAGCUAAACUCCUGAGUGACCGGGGAUGGUUGAUUUGAGGUUUAAUUCUAGCUAGUAGAUUCUUAGGUUUGUUAAGGGUCUUUUUGGAGACAAAUGUCUGAGAUUGCUGGAAAAUGCUUCUUACCAUCAUAUUAAUGUCUAUUCGGGUUGCGUUUUCUUAGAGUUUUGGAUUCUUUGCAUCUUAUCAUAAAAUUGAGUUAGAUAUAACAUGUCAUUGUUAUCUGUUAAUUGUUUCACUUGGGACCAGGAGCAUGGUGGCAACUCAAUACAGCUGUAAAUGCAUAUUUCAGCGAGGGUGAUAGGUAUAUAUUUAUGAAUUAUGCUAAUAUUUUGUUAUGAUAAGUAAUUCUAGGUUUAUAGCUUUAUUGGUUUGUUUGUUUUCUCAUGUUUCCUACAAAAAUAAGGCCAACAUCAACCAUAGUUUCUGUAGAUUAUGCCAUGGAUAUAAAUGAUCCAAAUGAAGUUGUACCAAAUGGGCCAGUCCCUUCCAUUUCUACCAUCAUCUAGAACAAACGAACAAUCGUCUCUUCAUCAUCGAAACUUCCAUAGCAGUUUCUUCGAUGGUGAUUCUGGUUCAACUUAUGAACCAAUUGAUACAUAUCCAACAGAGGUGAGAGGGGUUAAGUAUAGCCAUGAGCCAUCUAGUCAUGCUCCUGUUGUUGAGGAUGCCUCUGAAACUGCACAAGCUCUCGGCCCGAAUUCCCAUGAGACUGUUACAAUUGGUGAAGUAGGUGACGAUUCAAUUGCGCAGCCAAGGUGGCAGAAUGAUAACUGUAACAACCAGCAUGUUACACCCAGCGCUCCUGCCUUUGAUAAUUUGCUAGACUAUGGCGAUGACAUUGAAGAACAAAUGAUUCAAGCUGCCAUUGAGGCCUCUAAGCGGGAUGCUGAGGCAAGUUUUAAAAAAAGGACGCUUCCAAUUUGAUAGUGUUGUGGUGCCCUUCAUUCUUGUAGUUGCUGUAAAUGCUUGUUUUACAGAUUGCCUUUUUCAUGUUUAAAGUGUUAAAGUGUUGCAAAUUGAAGUGUUUUAAGUAAUGCAAAUUGAAUUGUUUAGUUGCUGGAAAUUGAGAUGUUUUAUGGCCGUAAUUGAGUGUAUAAAUGUUGUAAAUUGAAGUGUUUUAUUGCUGGAAAUUGGAUGCAUGGUAUAAUGACAUGAUAGAAUGUCAUUACAAUGUUGUAACUUUUUGAUGUUGUAAAAUCAUAUGGAUUAUGACAUCUAAACUAAUGAAAUCGUGUAACUUUUUAUUAAUAUAUGAAUAUUAUGUUGGGAUGUGAAAUAUAAUUCUCAAGUUAUUUAUUACUUCUAAUAUCUAAUAUUUCAUUGUAGAAUAAUUAAAAUUAUUUGUUUCACUAAUGAUAUUUUAGCACAUUCAAUAUCUAUUGCAGUUUAAAAAUAAUAAUUUAGAUUAUAUAUUAUUUUUAUAGUAUUAUAUAUUAUGAUUUUAGUAAAUUCAUAUAAUAGUAAUUAUAUUAAGAAUUUUAUUAAAUUAUAUUUAAUAAUAAUUAUGUUAAAAUAUGGUUAAAUUAUUUAUUAUCUUUAUUAAAUUAUUUUUAAUAAUAAUCUUUUUAAAAUUUAAUAACAAUAACAAAAAUCAUCUACUUAAAAAAGAUUCUGCUAAGGGUAUUCUAGUCAUUUUAGUUUUUUCCUUAUGCAAUUACAACAUCAUUCCAUUCAACCAAACACAAGAAUACCAUUACAGUUCUAUUCCGUUCCAUUCAACCAAACAAUUGAAUUACUGAUUACAGCUCUAUUCCAUUACAGUGAACCAAAUAUAUCCUUAGUAUGAAUGGCUGUCGAGGCAUGUAGAAAUUUGCACACAAAAGAACAAAAUUGUGCACUACUUAAAACUUCAAAGCAUGUGUGGCCUUAAUUUAAUUUUUCAUCUUUUUUAGCCCUUAAACCUACAUUGUUUAUCAGAUGAAAAAAUUAAUAUCUAUUAACUUUGCUAAUGUGCAAGCAUAUGCAACUUCUUUUAAAUCUAAAAAAUAUAAAAAUAAUUAAAUAUGUAUAAAUCUAAAGAUAUCUUAAACUUAAAACUAAAAUUUUUUAAACUAAUGCAAAUUUUUAUUAUUUAAAAAAUCUUAAAAUUUUCAAAUUAAAUUCCAUUUGUUUUCCACCGUUGAAGAACACCUUUAAUCACAACUUCAUGCUGUAUUGCCUAGAAAUUGUUUUGCAAAUUUAUUUUGUUUUAUUUAUUUCUAAACCCAUAUUUCUUUUCUAUAACUCCAAUUAUUAGAUUGUUUAGGGUUUUGAGUAACUUUCGAUUUUGGAAUUUUAGAUUUUUUAAAUUUAAAUAUGAAGUGCUCUUCUUCUUCUCCAAACCCACAAAUUUUUCUGCCAAAUUUCUACUCAAGGUUUUACUUUCAGCUAUAAAUAAAGCGUAUAUUAUAUUUAUAAUGAUCUAAGAAUAGUAGAGUCGAUGCCGAUCUACAUGAAAAAGGAUGAAAAAAAAAGGCAAAGAAUGAUAAUAUGAAGAGAGCAUAAAUCAAUAAAGCAAAUGAAAAACGAGCAGGAUUAAAGUAAAUGGGUAUUUAAUAUUUUUUUGUGAAAGUUCAAAGACUGAUUAUUUAUAAAAUUGGAUGUGGAAAAAUUAGUUGGAAUUUUUUUUCUUACACCAAUUGAUUUUUUAUAUAAAAUUUUUAUUUAUUUUUAAGUGUUGAAACCACUUUUUGAAAACAAAAAAAAAGUGUUACUUUUAUUUUGAAAACGGAAACGAAAAAAUGGGAGUCGCCACCGAUAUUUUUUUUGAGGUGUGAUCGGAUCACCUUAAAACAAUUUUGGUCUACGAAUAAAAAAAUGGGUCCGGGAGUCAAUUACGUAGGAGGAAGGAUUAGCACCCUCAUAACGCCCAAAAUUGAUACCGAAUUGCAUAAUUAAUGUCUUAAAGUCGAAUGUCGAAAAUUCAAAAAGAUUAAAAAUGAUCCCCUUUAAUUAAUGACAUAUUUUUAAACAAUAUUUGUAUAAAUUUGAUCAUAUGUAGAAAGGUCUUCUCAUCCUGAGUCAACAAAAUGUCGUAUCCCAUAAGUUAGGAUGCGACAUUUAGAUUUCCGAGCAUAAUCUAGCCUUUAAAACCCUUUAUUGAAACUUUAUGUAUUUGAAAACUAAAAAUGUUUGACCAUCUUGGUUCAAUGAGGAAAUCGAAAACCCGUAAGUUAGGACAAAUUUCCUCAAAGUUCCAAAGACGAUAUAUACGUUUGCCUUUAUUUAAAAAAAAAAGAUACUCGGUUACUUAAAUUCAACGAGGAAAAUUGGAGCCUAAUAAGUUAGGGCACAAUCUUCUCGAAAAUAUUGGAUACCGGGUAUUACGUUAUUUUGAAAACUUUGAAUAAAAUGAUUUCAAUACUUUGACUAAACGCAACAUUUUAAAUGAAUAAAAUGCGAUGGAACAAUAACGUAUAACGCGAAGUGAUAAUUCGUAAACUAAAAUAUACGCUAAUGAUCGACAAAGAAUCAAUGAAUACGAGUAAGCAAUACAAUACAUCAUAUAAGAGCAACAAUCUCAUAUCCCACAUUAUGCAAAUACUAACAUCCAUUUUAGCAAGCUAAAUGAAUUAAAAGUUAAUUAAAGAACAGCAAGCAAAUUAAUGUAAAUCUAAUAUAACAAGCUUUAAAAUAAAAUAAAAAUAAAAAUCAUGAAAAAGAGGAAAAUUCAAACACUAAAUUGUAUGUAUAAAAUAUUUGGCACAAAUAAUAUAUAGGAAAACUUGCAAUAAAAAAAUGAAGAAAAUAAAGAAUAAAUAAGAUGCAAAAUAAUACAUGUUCAUCUAAAUAAGUAGUACAUAUAAAAUAAAAUUUUAAUAUAAAUGUUGAAAUAAACAAAGCGUGUAAUUGAACAUCAUUUCCACUAACUAGAUCCUUCUUCGUCAACUGCUGCGAUUGCCUUUCUUUGACUUUCUUUUUCGCCUCUUCUCAUGUUGGUUUUCAACCAAAUUCACCAACCAUUUCGGUUUUCCAGUUUGGAAAACAACAUAUCCCACCAACAUUCCGAACACUACUCCGCAUCCAUAACCUAUCAACACCACUUUCCAACCAAAAGUAAUGUUUGAUUUUGAGCCAUCUUUUUCAAGCACAUCUGGAGGUGUUGGCGCAAUGAUGUUGCAACCUUUCGAGACCGGAAACCCACAUAUGAAUCAUUUCCAAAUGUGUUGAAUUGUUUGCCUUGAGGAAUCUGACCAUGGAGUUGAUUUUCAGAAACAUUUAAGGACAAAAGAAAUGGCAGAUCUACCAAUCUAUUUGGAAUGGUUCCAGACAACCUGUUUGAAGAUAGUGUUGGCACAUAAUUAAAUUAACCUUGCACAAAUAAAUUAUGAAAAGUUAGAAGAGUGAAGAGACUUGAAUAUGAAAAGUGAAAAAACUUGAAUAUGAAUAGUGAAGAGACUUGAAGAUGAAAAGUUAAGAGGCUUGAAUAUGAAAAGAUACACACAUGCAUGAAUAGUCACAACUCCUAGCAUAUAGUGAUAUAGAUGAAUAGUCACUUACAACUCCUAUAUAAAGAGUUGUAUGUGAUGAAGAAUUAUUAACUUUGUGUGCUUGAAAUAAAAGAUUAUUUGAAAGAAUUUUUUCAUACAAAAUUUAUUUCUCUUCUCCAUUAUAUUCUUUAUCAUUUUCUUUGUUUUAUUUCUCCAAAUAUUAAUCAUUCAACUACAAAUUGGUAUCAAAGCCUUGUUCAAUCGAAAUGAACAAUUCUAUUCCUCUUUCUUCCGUUCCCCAAUUAACCAAAGAAAAUUAUGGCAAAUGGAGUAUCCAAAUGAAGGCUCUUCUUGGAUCUCUAGAAGUUUGGGAGAUUGUUGAAAAAGGUUAUAAUGAAGUUGAGGGUGAAGAGGAGGAAGGAUUAACACAAGUUCAAAAAGAGAGUCUAAGAAAAUCAAGGAAGAAAAAUCAGCAAGCCUUAUUUUGGAUAUAUCAAGGAGUUCAAUCAUAUGAAGCGGCUUGGGAAAAAAUAGCUUGUGCCACCACGGCAAAACAAGCAUGGGAAUUUUUACAAAAUUCAUUCAAAGGAGAUGAAAAGGUGAAAAGAGUUCGGUUGCAAACUCUUUGAGGAGAGUUUGAAAGAUUGCAAAAAAUAGAGUCAGAAUCAGUUUCUGAUUACUGUUCACGGGUUUUGUCCAUAGUCAAUCAAUUAAAAAGAAAUGGUGAAACUAUGGAUGAUAUUCGUGGUGUUGAGAAAAUCCUCCGUUCUUUAGAUUCCAAAUUUGACUACAUUGUGGUUGCCAUAGAAGAAUCAAAGGACUUGAGUACCAUGACUAUUGAUGAACUCACAGGUUCGUUGCAAGCCCAUGAAGAAAGAUUAAACAAGAAGAAAAAGGAAGUAGAUCUAGAUCAAGCACUUCAGUCAAAGUUGUCUCUAAAUGAGAAUAAGGGAGAUUUUAAAAAUCAAAGAGGGAGAGAUCGUGGUCGUGGAAGAGGAAGAAAUUUUAGAGGAAGAGGCUCAAAUGCUCGUGAAAGAGGUGAAGAUGUAAGCAUGGAGAAUGGAUGGAAAGAAGCCAACCAAAGUCAAAAUUUUAGAGGAUCACAAAGAGGACGUGGACGUAGAAAUCAAAGAGGAAGAGGUCGUGGCUAUUUUGAAUGUUAUAAUUGUCGCAAACCUGGUCAUUUGGCAAGUGAAUGCUGGUACAAAGAAGAAGAGAAAAAUGAAGCUAAUAUAGUACAAAAUAAUCAAGAGCAAAAGCAAGAAACUUUGUUGCUCGUAUCUCAUGGUGGAGAGAUUGAUGAUGUCUGGUACAUAGACAGUGGUGCUAGCAAGCAUAUGACAGGUAACAAAAAUUUAUUUUCGAAGUUCUUUGAAUCUGAUUGUGGAGAAGUAAAAGUAGGAGAUGGCAAAGCUUACAAAGUUAGCGGUGUUGGUGAGUUGGAGUUCAAAACAAAGCAAGGAAGGGUAGAGAAAAUGUCUGAAGUUUAUUUUGUUCCUGGUCUUAAAAAUAAUCUGCUUAGCGUUGGGCAUCUCUUGAAGAAGGGGUAUGAUAUUCAUUUCCGAGACAUGGCUUGCUAUUUAUCAAAGAAAAAUCAGGUUGUUGCUAGAGUUGGAGUGGCAUCAAAUAAUCUUUUCUCUCUUACCCUUCAAAAUCAGAAUAUGUCUUGUUUUAUUGGUGCUCAUAAAGGAAUUUCAAAGUUAUGGCAUGAUAGAUAUGGACAUUUAAACUAUGGAAAUUUGGAGAUGCUUUCAAGGAAGAUGAUGGUUAGAGGUUUACCAAAAAUCGAUCGGCUUGAUGAUGUUUGUGAAGCAUGUCAACUUGGAAAGCAACAUAAAAUUGCUUUUCCUUCUCAAUCCUCGUGGAAAGCAAGAAGACCAUUGCAACUUAUUCACUCAAAUCUUUGUGGUCCAAUGACAGUUUCAUCUUUAGGAGGUAAUCGUUACUUUAUCUCUUUCAUUGAUGAUUACUCAAGAAAGUUAUGGGUGUAUUGUGUCAAAGAAAAAUCAGAGGCUUUUCAGAGAUUCAAAGAUUUCAAGGCAGAAGUGGAGAACUUUACUGGGUUGAAAAUUAACACCUUGCGUACAGAUCGUGGAGGUGAAUAUUUUUCAAAAGAAUUUGAGAAAUAUUGCCGAGAUAGUGGCAUCCGGCAUGAAAUGACAGUCCGCCAUACACCUCAGCAAAAUGGUGUGUGUGAAAGAAAGAACAGAACAAUUAUGGAAAUGGCUAGAUGUCUUCUUAAUAAGAAGAGGUUAUCAAGAAGAUUUUGGGCUGAAGUUGUUUCCUGUGCAGUUUAUCUUAUAAACAGAUCACCGACAAGAAGCUUGGAGAAUUACACACCACAUGAGGCGUGGUAUGGUAUAAAGCCUAGUGUUAGUCAUCUUAGAGUAUUUGGGAGUGUUGCCUACUCUCUAUUCCAGAUGCAAUGAGAAGCAAGUUGGAUGACAAGUCAGAGAAAUGCAUUUUUAUUGGCUAUAGUGAAAGAAGUAAGGCAUACAAGUUGUAUAAUCCGGUGACAAAGAAGAUUGUGAUAAGCCGAGAUGUUCGGUUUGAUGAAAAUUCCAUGUUUGAAGAUAUGGAAGUUGAAAAGGAAAAUUUGCCAAUUUUUCCUUUUGAACUUGAAGAAGAAGAAGAGGCAGUAAUUGAGAAUGCUGAAGAUGAUGCUCAAGUAGAAAAUCCUCCUGCUUCCCCAUGUUCUUCAUCAAAUUCUUCUUCAUCCAGCCCGAUCCGAAAAACGAGAAGCAUCCAAGAGUUAUAUGAUGUAACGGAUGAAGUUGUGCAAAAUGAUGCUGUAUUCUUUGCCUUCUUUGCAGGAGAAGAUCCAAUUUCUUUUGAUGAUGCAUAUCAAGAAGAAAUAUGGAGGAAAGCCAUGAAAUAAGAGAUUUUCUCAAUUGAAAACAAUGAUACAUGGGAACUCACAGAUUUACCGCCGCACAAGAAUUCAAUUGGAGUCAAAUGGGUGUACAAGACAAAGAUGAAUCCGAAUGGCUCUAUCAACAAGUACAAGGCAAGACUGGUUGCAAAAGGAUACAAGCAAAAGGAAGGAGAAGAUUUUACAGAGGUAUUUGCUCCAGUUUCAAGACUUGAGACAGUUCGGUUACUUAUUUCUCUUGCUGCCCAAAAUAAUUGGAAAAUAUUCCAAAUGGACGUAAAAUCUGCGUUUUUGAAUGGUGUUCUCAAAGAAGAAGUCUAUGUUGAUCAACCACCAGGGUUUGUCAAAAAAGGAGAAGAAGAAAAAGUUUACAAGUUGAAGAAAGCUUUGUACGGGUUGAAGCAAUCACCCAGAGCAUGGUACAGCCGCAUCGAUUCUUAUUUUCAGAAGUGUGGAUUCCAGAAAUCUCCAUAUGAGCAUACUCUCUACAUCAAAGGCAAUUAUCAAGGAAGAUUCAUGGUUGUAAGUCUCUACGUUGAUGAUCUUAUUUUCACAGGAAAUGAUGUGAAGAUGUUGAAAGAAUUUCAGCACUCAAUGAUGGCAGAAUUUAAGAUGACAGAUUUGGGAGAACUUCAUCAUUUUCUUGGCAUUGAAGUUCAUCAAUCCGAGAAAGGAAUUUUUAUUUCACAAGAGAGCUACGCAAAGGAAGUUCUAAAAAAAUUCAUGAUGGAAAAUGCGAAUCCAGUCUCUACUCCAUGCAUUACAGGUCUGAAGUUAUCUAAAGAGGGUGAAGGAAAGCUUGUCAAUUCCACCAUAUUCAGAAGUUUGGUUGGGAAGUUGAUGUAUCUGACUUCGACAAGGCCUGAUAUCGUGUAUGUUGUUAGCUUGGUAAGUAGAUUCAUGGAGAAACCUUACUCCAAUCACUGGGAGGCUGCCAAGAGAAUAUUGAGAUAUGUGAAGGGAACCAUUGAUUAUGGAAUUUUCUAUAAAUCUAAUACAUUAGUUGAUCUCAUUGGUUAUACGGAUAGUGAUUUAGCAGGAAGCAUUGAUGAUAGCAGAAGCACUUCUGGUUAUGUUUUUCACCUUGGUAGUGGUGCAGUUUCAUGGAGUUCAAAGAAACAAUCAAUUGUGGCGCUUUCGACUAUAGAAGCUGAAUAUAUCGCUGCAUCUUAUGCAGGAUGUCAAUUGAUUUGGUUACGUGGAAUUUUGGAAAGUCUUAAGCAGAAGCAAAGCAAGUCAACAAUUUUGUUUUGUGACAAUAGUUCUACUAUUUCGGUCACAAAAGAUCCAAUUCUUCAUAGAAGGACAAAACACAUUCGCAUUCGAUAUCACUUCUUGAGAGAACUAGUGAAUAAUGGUGAUGUUCAAGUUGAAUAUUGCAAGACGGAAGAUCAGAUGGCUGAUAUCUUCACAAAGCCUCUAAGUGGACAAGUCUUCAAGAAAAAUGUUGAAAGGUUGGGAGUUCAAAGCAAGUUUAAUUUAAGGGAGGCAUUGUUGGCACAUAAUUAAAUUAACCUUGCACAAAUAAAUUAUGAAAAGUUAGAAGAGUGAAGAGACUUGAAUAUGAAAAGUGAAAAAACUUGAAUAUGAAUAGUGAAGAGACUUGAAGAUGAAAAGUUAAGAGGCUUGAAUAUGAAAAGAUACACACAUGCAUGAAUAGUCACAACUCCUAGCAUAUAGUGAUAUAGAUGAAUAGUCACUUACAACUCUUAUAUAAAGAGUUAUAUGUGAUGAAGAAUUAUUAACUUUGUGUGCUUGAAAUAAAAGAUUAUUUGAAAGAAUUUUUUCAUACAAAAUUUAUUUCUCUUCUCCAUUAUAUUCUUUAUCAUUUUCUUUGUUUUAUUUCUCCAAAUAUUAAUCAUUCAACUACAGAUAGGUCCAACCAUUCAAGACUUGUCAAAUCCCCUACUGAGGUAGGGAUACCACUAUUAAGGUUAUUAUGAGAAAGGUUGAGCCCUUUCAGUAAGUUAAGCUUCCCAAUAACCUUUGGAAUCUCCCCUUCAAACUGAUUGCUUGAUAGAUCAAUGAUCACCCACAUAGUGAAAAUUUUCACCAAUUCCACGUCUUGUCCUUUCAUAACAAUUCCAAUGGAAUAGGCAUAGAAGUCAUCUCCAUCAUUCACCCCCAUGUACGACACUGUACUACUAACCUUCUCUAGAUUUAUGAUAGCCUUGAAGCUGUUGAUGUAUCUCACUAGUAGGGGUCCAGAAAAAUAAUUACUUGAGAGGUCAAAAAUUUGGAUUUUAGAGAAAAAAGGGCUAGACUUGGAGUUAUUGACACACAGGGAACCAUGCAUUUGAUUUGACUUUAGUACAAGAACUUGUAGCUGUGGAAGACUUCCCAACCAAUGAGGAAAUGUAUCAUUGAUCUUGUUGUUACCAAGAUCUAGUACUUCCAGACCUCUACAAUUAAGGAUGGAUGGUGUCAAAGGCCCUCCUAACAGAUUUCCAUUUAAAUUGAAAUUACUCAAUUGGCAUCCCAUUGCAAAUGUUGGAGGAAUCGUCCCAUAGAACUUGUUCUUCUUCAGAUUCAAGAAUUGAAGGCUGUUGCUCAAAUUUCCAAAACACUGCGGAAUUGUUCCACUCAAGUAAUUGUGGGACAAAUCAAGAAUUUGAAGAUAAGUGGCAUUGCAUAUUAAUGAAGAGACCUCUCCAUUGAAACAAUUAUUUGAGAUCAAAAAGACAGUGAUGGUCGAAGCUGGAAUCGGAAGAUUUCCACUGAUCAAAUUGGAGCUUAAGUCAAGAACAUCAAUAUUCUUCCAUGGAAAGUGCUCAGCUUCUGUCAAAGAGUUGUGAAAUACAUUUAAGUAAGUCAAAGAGCCAUUCCCCACCUCUUGCAUCCACUAUGGAAUCUUGCCUUUAAUUUUGUUGCAAGAGAGGUCUAAGCUUUCCAAACUUUUAAGCCCUUUUAAAAAUUGGGGGAAUUCACUAAGAUUGCAAGAUGACAAAAAUAACCAUUCAAGAUUUCCACUGAUCAAAUUGGAGCUUAAGUCAAGAACAUCAAUAUUAUGACGAUAUAUAAGUUUCCCUUUAUUUUUUAAAAAAAAACCUCGUCUCGAGAUAUCGAAAGGUCAUAUCCAAUGAGUUAGGACACAACGUUUUGAAUUCCCGAGAUAAGCUUUAAUUUGAAAUUUUUAUAUUUUAAUUAAAAAAUGAUACUCAGUUACUUAAAUUCAACGAGGAAAAUUGGAGCCCAGUAAGUUAGGGCACAUUCUUCUCGAAAAUCUUGGAUACCGGGUAUUACGUUAUUUUGAAAACCUUUGAAUAAAACGAUUUCUAUACUUUGAUUAAAUGCAACCUUUUAAACGAAUAAAAUGCGAUGGAACAAUAACAUACAACCCGAAGUGAUAAUUCGUAAACUAAAAUAUAUGCUAAUGAUUGACAAGGAAUCAAUGAAUACGAGUAAGCAAUACAAUACAUCAUAUAAGAGCAACAAUCUCAUAUCCCACAUUAUGCAAAUACUAACGUCCAUAUUAGCAAGCUAAAUGAAUUAAAAGUUAAUUAAAGAACAGCAAGCAAAUUAAUGUAAAUCUAAUAUAACAAGCUUUAAAAUAAAAUAAAAAUAAAAAUCAUGAAAGAGAGGAAAGUGCUAAGGGAUAAGAUUGAAGGCCCGUAAUAUGAUCGCAAGACAAAGAAGCACGCUCUGUUAUGGAAAAAGAGUUCUUGAACUGGAUUAAUGAAGAGCAGGAGUGAGAUCCUGAAGAAGAAAAAGAAGCAUAAAGAUGGGGAAAAAAGAGGAAUAGGGAGAGAAAGAGAUAGGAGGCCAUGUUAUGUUUGUAGAGGAAGAAGGAUAGGAAUGGUAUUUAUAGGCAACAAAUAAUACCACAACAUUGGUGUUACAGUCUUUUUUUUCUUUUACAUUGAAAUGCUACAGAUAUUAGAUUUUCAAAAUAUUUGUAUUUUUCACAAUCAUCAACACUUAGUCGUCAUUUUACCAUAUAUUUUUCAUUCUUUUUUUUUUUAACAAAAUCUUGUAUAUCAUUUGGACUCGCUAAACAACUAAAAAAAUAAAGAUUGAUGAGAUUACAAAGUAGAUUGACUUAGUCUUCUUCCCUAUAACAUGUAAAGAAUGUAUGUGUCUAUUCAAUUGCCUGUCAACCAAAGCUUAUUAAUGUGGAAAUUCUUUUCCACACAAAAGAACAAAAUUGUGCUCUAUUCAGCUACGUUUGAGGAAGGAGACGGCUGGAAAUUUAAUCCACCGAUUCCAUAAAAACGUGUAUAUUUAUUUAUAAAUAUAUAUAUAACCUCAUGAUUCAAAUCUAAAAUCUCAUUUGUUAUAAAUUCUUAUAAAUUUAUUUGGGAAUAGUUAUUUUUCAUUCGUUAAUUAUUUCUCUUUUAGCCGUGAAACUUAUAUGGUUCGUUAAAUCGCCCCAAAAAAUGAUAAAAAAGAUUAACAAAACUAGCCCCUACGUGGCUGAUGUUGACCCUUAGUAGUUAAUGGCAACUCCUAUGUAAUUGUUAACAGAUACCACAGCAACAAUGUUUGUUGACGUGACAAUGCCACAUGACCAAUAAUCGUUGUCAUGGUAGUGCCACGCCGUCACCCAUUGAUGACAUAUUAACCUUCGAGUUAAACUCAAAUUGCUCUUUCCUUUGUUAUAAAUUAAGAGUAUAACUAAUUUUGAUAAGAAUAGUUACUUUUCAUUAACUCAGUUUAAAGGACUAUAACACGUAAAGUUUGGUCUAUUGCAGAAUUCACAUGCAAUGCGGGAUAUUUACAUUUUGAAGAAUUCAACACAUAUAUGGGAAUUUUUGUAUUUCCACAAUCAUAAUUUUGUUAGUGAUCAACAACUACUUCCUCCUUACCAUAUAUUUUUCAUUCAUAAAAUUGAUUACUUUUUUUAUCAAAGAAGUAAAAUAAUUAACAUUCUUAAGAUUACAAAGUCUUCUUCCUUAUAACACGUAAAGUUUAGUUCCAAAUAAUUUUCCACAAAAAAAAGACCAUCAAUUGUCGAUUGACUAUACUUUAACUCCAAAAAAAAGACUAAGACUAUCAAUUGUCUAUUGACUACACUUUAACUCGACAAAAAAGGACUAAGACUAAGACUUUCAAUUGUCUAUUGACUUCACACUUGCGGUUGCUUCCUCCUAUCUCUCUCACCCAAACUUAAUUUAGAAGCAAUGGGGAAAUUUUGGACAUUUGGGCCACAAUGAACAAUACUUCCACACCAUUUGCAGUAUUGACUACGUUUACUUGAGGGAAAACAAAGACAUGAAUGCUGGAAAUUUUAACUAGUUUGUACCGUCAAUGAAGCUACGUACCUAAAAGCCUUUUAGGAUAUCAAUUCCUGUAAUUGGAUUAAUCUCAUCGUUGCUGCAAUCUUUUGACAGUGUAAUCGAAUCUUAAAUAUGUUACUCUGCAAUGCUGUUGUAAAAAUUACUCUUAAAAUUGUCGAUAGAUAUAUAGGUUUGGCACAAAAUUAAGAAUACACAAAGGCAGGUUGAAUUAUUCCAUGUUUGAACAUAAAUUCAUAUGGCAAAAGGGCCCAAACCAUACCUUAUGUUCAUGAAUUCUCAUCAUCACAUGUUUAUAAAUGCAUCUCAAAACUUGAAUAAUUGAAUCUUUUGUAAUUCUACAUGUAUUUUUUUUUAUGGUGAGCAGUAUAAUGUUUACUAAAAAUUGAAAUUCAAGAAAGAAGACAUACAUAGUUGCACCAUACAAGUUGUUACACUCGAACUAAACCCUUACAAAUAGUACGAGAUGCAAUGAAAUACAGAGGAAUUGGUACAAUCAUAAAGACAGACACAUACCAAUGCAACUUUUCACCAUAGGAAAAACUUUCUGACAGACUACUAAACAAGAAAUUAUGAAGACACAGCAGAAAUGCUUUGACUUCUUUUGCACCAACUAGAUCCUUCUUCAUCCAUUGAUGCGAUUGCUAUAUUUUGGCUUUCUUCUUCGCCUCUUCUCAUGUUGGUUUUCAACCAAAUUCACAAACCUUUUCACCUUACCGGUUUGGAAAACAACAUAUCCCAUGGCCAUUCCAAACACUACCCCGCAUCCACAACCUAUCAACACCACUAUCCAACCAAAAGCAAUGUUUGCUUUUGAGCCAUCCUUUUCCAGCACAUUUGGAGGUGGUGUCUCAUUGAUGCUGCAACCUUUGGAGACUGGGAAUCCACAUAGUCUCUGUUUCCUUCAUAUGAAUUGUUUCGAAAUGUAUUGACAAUCUGACCAUGGAGUUGAUUUUCAGAAACGUUUAAGAAGAAAAGAAAUGCCGGAUCUGCCAAUAUCUCUGGAAUUAACUCAGUUCAAAUGACCAUAUAACUCGUAAAGUUUGGUCGAAGACUGGCAGCGUCUAUUGACUUCAACUCUUGCUAUUACCUCAAGAAGAAAGACUGCUACAAUUCUAUCUUCUUUAAACCAGCUAUUUAAAAGCAAUAAGGACAUUAAAUCCACCAAUUUAUCUUUGAAGUCAUUCGUCAUGCAGCUCUGCUAUGUACGAUUAUUGGCAAAAAUCUUGAAAGGAGACAACCUCAAAUUUGAAGACAAGAAAUGAGCAAGAACAUGCACCAACGAAGAAUCGAUUAUUGUUUUGUAUUUGGUAAAUACAAUUUGAGUUAAAUAAUCAAGAAUGAUAGUGAAUAAAUAAGGAAAAACAAUGUAGAUUCAGAACCACAAUAAAUCAUAUUAAGCUCAUGAGUUUAUAAUAUAUAUCUCUGCAGCUUGAUUGCCUUGUUAGCUAUAAACAUAACCUGUUAAUUCCAUCAUUAAUACCAUUAGAUAUAUUUUGAUGGGGGAGAUUUUUUAGUAGGAAAACAGUUGAAGUCAUUCAAGAAGACAUAAACAGCUGCAACUACGUAAGAGUUUAACUUUGAGAAUAGAUCCUUACACGUUAUUGAAAUGCCAUACUAAAGAUAAAGACAUAUAGCUAAACGUUAGACACACCAUAAAAAUAUAUAUAGGUAAAGUGAUAGGGUGUGAGUAAGGAGGCCAUGCUAUGUUUUCAAAUAAGAUUAUCAUGGUAUGAAUUAUGAGAACCCUAUUUAUAGGAAGAACAAAACCGAUAUGAAACUAAGAAUAUAGUCCAUUGAUAAUGAAGAAUCUAAGAAAUUUAAUGGAAAUUGUGGAUAAGCAUCGUGUUUUUAUCUCUGAUGGAGAAAAGCUAAGAGUGUGAGGAAGACCAACUGUCAAUGUCACCCAAACCGAAUCUACAAGUCACCACAAUGUACAGUAAUUCAAAGCAGGAAAAGUUCAUAGUUUCAGAGUAAAUAACACUUCAAUGAUUGUAUUAUAGAAAACAUGUGUAUCCUAUAUAUGUUGAACAAUAUUAUCUAACAAACAUAUUUUCCAAAAGACUAGAAAAUUUGUGAUUAAAUGCUAAAGUUACAUAUUUUAUGUAAUUAAAUUGGUUAAUUUAUGAGAGUGCACCACUAAUUUUUCCAUGUUUUUGUUGAAUUUUGUGCAGGGGUGCAAUUUGGGGCUAAAUAGAAGAAAAAGGAAACAAUUGGGCUAGAUUGAAGAGAGAAGCAAAGAAGGAGGGCCAAAACAGAAUUUUUCCAGAUUAAUUAGCUGAAAUUUUUGUUGACUUAGUGGGAGAUUAUUUUGGGAUUUUUUUUUAUAUCAUGGAAUAUUUUUCCUUAAUUUUCUAUACUAGUUGGCUUUUAAUUUAGCAAGGCCACUAGUAUAAAUAGAGGCUACAUUGUUCAUUUUAAUCAUCAAGUCUUGAAUCAAUUCAUAAAUCAAGCUUUCAUCUUUCAAUACAUUCUCUCUUUUCUACUCACAAAUUUAUUUGUUGUUUUUAGUUUCAUUUACUUUCAAUCCAUUAAUUUCCAGCUUGUUACCACUUAAACCAUUUUCAAUUUCUUUUUCAAACUUUCUUUCCAUCUCCAGUAGCUAAUUCACUUUAUUACACCCCCAAAAUUCCAGCCCCCCAAACUAAAUCACGCCACCCAUUCCUUUCACCCAUUUUACCUUAUUUAAUUUAUCCAAUACCAACAUGCCCCAAACCUUAGCCAACUAAAUUCAUUUCCAGCUUUAGGUCGGAAUUAGCCUCGUCAAAACCCGUGAGUUACGAACCCGAGCAAAUUAACUCCUAAAUUUUAGUACUUAUUAUUUCUCCGGAUUAAGAGUAUGAUUUUGUCAACUCACAAAGUCAGAUCAACAUUAAGUUAAAAAAGACGUCGUUUGAUUUAGUGUGGUUAGACGUACAGUUGGAAUUCCAAAAAGAUCGAUUCUAAUCGGUUUUCUGUGAACACAUUGGCGUGCCAAUUGGAGAUUGCUGUUUGGUUCCGUCAAGGGAAGUAGUAACCCGAUUUAAAUGUCCCACGCGGUUGAGGGCAUUGGUUCGAGCUAGGGUUUUCUAGAACGCAAAGCUGCCGGAGUUCUAAAUCACGAACAUUUCGUGGUUGUUCGAUCAGUAAGGGUUAGUUAUUGGACGUUCCAUAACUAAUUUACACAAGGAAGAGUUAGUGUCUGAGGCGUCCUUGGUAGCUAUAACUAGCUUAUUGGAAAAGAGGAGUUCAUCUAAUUUUGAGAAUCGGUUCAAAGACGAGGAAAAUUCGUGCCUAAAGCUGAGCUUAUUCUAAUUAAAUUUUCUUCAUAUUUAUUUAACUAUUUUAAUUAUUCUGUUUUCAACUUUAUCUUUUCACGCAUUUUAUUUAUUUAUUUCAGGUCUUCAAAUUUUAUCCCCCCGAACUUCUUGGGCACGACAACUGCCCCAACAUAAAUCUGGUCAAAAUAGAAACAAUUUGCAGUAAACCCAGUCUCUGAGGGAUCGACCCUACUCCCUAUACUGUUUAAAUCGCAAAUUAGGCGUAGGUUUAUAUUGGUGGAUUCGACACCCAUCAAUUUGUAUGUCAUUUUCUAUUACUUGCAAGAAAACUACAGGGGAAAUUGCAUUUCUAAUUCAUCCAUAGGCUUUAAAUUCAAACAAGAAAAAGGAAAAAGAAUAUAUAUAUAUCAACAGGAAACUUCAAGGAGAGAAAUUUUGUUACAUCAAUUUUCCAGUCAUAUUUAAUCUUUACCCAAAGUUGAUUCUAGAUUAAAUUUGGAAAAAAUUAAAAAAGAGGACAUGUAUUUUUUUUUAUUUUUGAAAAGUAAAGGAUUAUAUCUCAGCCAAAUAAAAAAGUCACAAUGCAAAGCCAAGAGCCAAAGCCAAGCCAAGCACACACUCAACUAGCAGACAUAACUCAUACAGGACCUAGAUGUAUUAUUGAACUCUUAUAUAAAAGACAACUGAAGAUGCAAAGCUUAAUUGUUAAGCUUUUCUGAUGCUUGAUAAGCAUAGUUUUAGUUCAGUUCCGAAAUCUAAACUGCUUUGCUAUGGGAUUAUUUUUAUAAGUACAUUGAGAUCAAUGCAUGCUAUUGCGAUUUAUUAUCUUUGAUGCCAAGGAAAUGACAGAAUUCAAAGACCAAAAGGUUCGAUUACAUACUAGAUCAUGGAUGUAAGCCAAUCUACAACCUCUCUCCUCGACCUCCAUGUGAAACCAGCAUGAUUUGAAUUCUCAGCCGCAUAUACCCUCACAAACUCCUCAGCAACAACAUAAAACAUAUACCUAACACUCCUUUGAGAACCGAUAACUGCACAGACAGAUUCACUAAUGGAAGCCUUCAAGAAAUAUUGAACCACACAAUUACCACACUUCUGUGAAAUAAACUUGUUGGUGCAAAGAGACAACAAUAGACUGUUUUCAAUCUUGCUUGUAUAGCAAGCCUCGAGCCUUGCUGAAGAAACAAACUCAAAAGCAAGAACAGAAACACAUGCGAAUGAAAAACAAAAGAAAUUGAGAGAGAGAGUAUUUUGAAUGAAAAGAGCUGAUAUUUCAUUAACAAAUCCAGAAGGCAUAAUGCCAUUACAUAUAAUAGAUAACAACAACAAAAUGAACAAGUCUUUACCUAAUGACAUACCUAACACCACUAAAUUUACAUUGGAAAUUGUUAAUCAGCUUGCUUAAGUUUCUUUGCUGAUUUUUUCAGUCAAUCAAUCAACAAAAAACAUCAUAAGGUUUACCAACUUAGUUCAACAUGAACUAGAUUACAAAAUAAUAAUUAAAAAUACAAUCAAAACAUAACAAGUAGUUAGGCAACUUUAAGCUCCAGUUUCUGCACUUCAUAGCUCGACUGCUUGCUGCCACUUCUCCUUGCAUGGCCACCUUUGCAUGUCUUGCAUGGGAACUAAAUUCAACACUCCUCCUUAGUUUCCAUGCUAGUGACACCUAAUUGCCUUCUUAAUUUAACAAAUUUAGACACAUUGAGUGCCUUUGUAAAGAUAUCAGCAAUUUGCUCUUCUGAAUUGCAAUGAACCAGCUCGAUUUCAUGAGCUUGCUCCAUCUCCCUUAUGACAUGUAGCUUGAUGUUGAAGUACUUUGCUCUACCAUGAAAGAUAGGAUUCUUUGCAAUUGCAACAGCAGAUUUGUUGUCACAGUAAAUCUCUGUUGCCUUUCCUUGAUUUUGAUUUAAAUCAGCUAGGAUUUUUCUAAGCCAUAUGGCUUGAUUUACAGCAGAUGCAGCAGCAACAUAUUCAGCUUCUGCUGUUGACUGUGCUACCAGACUUUGCUUUUUAGAACUCCAGCAAAACAUGCCUGAGCCAAGACUAAAGGCAUAUCCAGAUGUGCUUCUCAUGUCAUCACAAGAUCCAGCCCAGUCACUAUCAACAUAGCCUAUUAGCUUCAUGUUUAUAGCCCUUUUGAACAAUACACCAUGAUCAAUGGUGCCUUUGAUGUAUCUAAGCACUCUUUUAGCUGCUUGAAAGUGCUGAUCAUUGCAGCAAUUCAUGUAUCUGGAUAGCACACUAACAGCAAACAUGAUAUCGGGUCUUGUUGCAGUCAAAUACAACAGACUACCAAUGAGACUUUUGUACAUAGUCUCGCAAAUUGGUUCACCACUCCCUUGCCUCGAAAGCUUCACUCCAACAGCCAUUGGUGUGCUUGUUGGCUUGCAGUUCUUCAUAGAGAACUUAUCCAGGAUCUUCAUAGUAAAAGAACUCUGACUAAGAAAGAUUCCCUUUGCUGUUUGCUUCACUUCCAUUCCAAGGAAGUAGUUCAUUCUGCCUAAAUCAGACAUUUCAAACAUUUCCAUCAUUUUUCUUUUGAAAUCUUCCAGCAUUCUUCUAUCUCCUCCAGUCACCAAUAAAUCAUCAACAUAGAGUGACAGGAUAAGCUGAGUUUCAGCUUGGUUCUUCUUCACAUACAGUGUUGGUUCACUGAGACUUCUCUCGAAUUCCAAACUGAGCAAGUAAGAAUCAAUUCGAGCAUACCAGGCUCAAGGAGCCUGUUUUAGGCCAUACAAAGCCUUUUUCAGUCUGUACACCUUGUGUUCUUUGCCAGUGACCACAAAUCCUUGAGGCUGUUCGAUGUAGAUCUCUUCUUCCAGGAAACCAUUGAGAAAUGCAGACUUAACAUCAAGCUGAUGAAUGGUCCACUGAUGUUGAGCAGCCAAGGCAACUAUCAUUCUAACUGUGUCAAGCCUGGCUACUGGUGCAAAUGUCUCCAGAUAGUCCAGACCAUACCUUUGGCUAAAACCUUUGACAACAAGCCUGGCUUUUAGCUUGUUCAGACUGUCAUCUGCAUUCUGUUUUGCUCGAUAGACCCAUUUUACUCCAAUGGUCUUCUUUCCAGUAGGUUUAUCAACUAGCUCCCAUGUCUGGUUCUUCUCAAUCAUGUUGAUUUCAUCGACCAUAGCUAGUUUCCAGCCUUCAUCUGCCUCAGCCUCUUCAAAACUGCUAGGUUCUGCUAUUGCAACCUGUGCCCUUUCAUAAAUAUCAUCUAGGGGCCUUGUGCCUCUCACAAGCACAUCAUCAACAUCCAUUUCAGGUCCUAGCUGCUCAAGUUCAGCUUGAUUAGGCACCAGGUCUUCUGAAGCAGCUUCUGGUUCAUUCUUUUCCCAAUUCCAACAAGCCUUCUCAUCGAAGAUGACAUCUCUGCUCACUUGAACUAUGUUUGUCAAAGGAUCCAGCACCCUGUAGCCCUUCUUAACUGAGCUAUAGCCUACUAGAACACCUGGUUGAGCCCUUUCAGAGAGCUUGUCUCUCUUAACUGCUGGUAUUUGUGCAUAACACAGGCAACCAAACACCUUCAGAUGUACCAAGGAAGGCUUGAAACCGGACCAAGCCUCGAAAGGUGUUUUGGAUGCAAGAGCUUUGGUAGGAAGCCUAUUUUGAAGGUAGACAGCAGUGUUUACUGCCUCAGCCCACAUGGUCUUGGGCAGUUUCUUCUCAAACAGCAGGCACCUGGCCAUAUCCAUCAAGCUUCUGUUCUUUCUUUCUGAUACCCCAUUCUGCUGAGGUGUGUAGACAUUUGUAAGCUGGUGUUUGAUACCAGCAUCAUUGCAAAUGGCUUGAAACUGAGCUGAAGUGUACUCAGUGCCAUUGUCUGACCUUAUCGAUUUCAGCUUGCAACCUGUUUCUGUCUCUACAGCAAUUUUAAACUUCACAAACACUUGAGCUACCUCAAACUUGUGUUUUAAGAAGAAAAUCCAGCAAAACCUUGUAAAAUCAUCAAUGAAGAGGAUGAAAUACCUAUUUUUCUUGAGUGAUUCAGUCCUCAUCGGGCCACAUACAUCAGAGUGCACCAGCUGUAGUUUUUUAGUAGCUCUCUAAGCUGAAUUUGUAGGAAAUGGCAGUCUUGCCUGUUUCCCCAUCUGGCAAACUUCACACACAUCAUCAUGCUCCACUGAGCUAGUAAAGUUCUCUGCCAAGCCUUCUUUGGCCAUUCGAGCCAAUGAUCUGAAGUUGGCAUGCCCAAGCCUUUGAUGCCAAAGCUUGGAAUCAUCAACAGAGGCUGUAUAUGCAGACUUUGAGUCAUUUGGCCAGUGUACCUCAAAGCAUUUGUUAGUCAUUGUGACUGUCAUAAGGCUUGAUCCACUUGGAUCAGCAAUGUGGCACUGUUUGUUCUUGAACACAACAGAAUAGCCUUUCUUGAGCAAUUGAGCUAUGCUGAGAAGGUUUCUGUCGAUUUCUGGCACUAACAGCACAUUUGGAAUGAUCUUGUUGCCUGUGGGGGUACAUAUCAGCACCUCUCCUCUUCCUUCAGCCCUUAUGAACUGACCAUUUCCAACCUUGACCUUGGUUUUACAACUUCUAUCCAAGGUUUUAAAUAAGGAGGCAUCUGGUGACAUGUGGUUAGUGCAACCACUGUCCAAUAACCAGCCUUUUGAGCAUUUCUUCUCAGCAGCUAAGAAAGAAACAGCAAAGACCUGCUCUUCUUGAUCACUACUGUCCUCAGCUACUCGAGCUUCAACCUUUGGUUGUUGAAAUUGACUCUGCCUUGACUUGGUUUUAUUUUUGCAAACCCUUUCAACAUGGCCUUUCUUCUUGCAGUGUUGGCAUACUGCAUCUGGCCUGAACCAGCAUCUGUCUUCUGGAUGACCUGGCCUCUUGCAAUGUCUGCAGGGCUGGUCAUUGCUCCUUGCAGUAUCAGGCUUAGGCCUGCUUUUCCAAGGCUUUUUACCUCUUGGAGCAUUGAUGCUCGAGGCUUCUCUGGCCUUGGCAUUGAAUGCACCUUCCUGGUGGUCUUCAGCUCUGCUAGCUCUCCUUUGUUCCUGAGCAUAGAAAGUGUUGAUUAGCUCAGUCAAAGAGAUGGUAGCAAGGUCUCUUGAGUCCUCAAGAGAGGAUAUCUUGGCCUCAUAUCUCUCAGGCAAAGUGGAGAGAACUUUCUCUACUAUCCUUGCCUCAUCAAAGUGCUCACCAAGGAGCCUUAUACUGUUAACCACUGCCAUGAUUCUAUCUGCAUACUGCUUCACUGUUUCUUCUUCCUUCAUCUUCAGGUUCUCAAAAUCCCUUCUCAAAUUCAAUAGCUGUUGUUGCCUUGUUCUCUCAGUGCCUUGAAACUCCUCCUUAAGCUUAUCCCAUGCCUGUUUUGGAGUCUCACAGGCCAUAAUUCUGGUGAAGAUGACAUUUGACACACAAUUCUGAAUGCAGGACAUGGCUUUGUGCCUUUUGGUCCUCUCAUCAGCAUGUUGCCUAAUCUGAGCUACUGUGGGAUUGGCCCUCAGUGGUGCUGGCUCAGCAUCUGUGUUGACAACUUCCCACAGAUCAAAGGCCUGUAGGUAAGUCUUCAUCUUGACCAGCCAUAUGUGAAAGCCUUCUCCAUUGAAGACUAGUGGGGCUGCUGGUGAAAAACUUGAGGAAGACAUUCAGCUUUCUUAGUUUGAUAAAACAGGUCCACUAAGAAUGAAGCUCUAGAUACCAAUUGUUGGUGCAAAUAGACAACAACAGACUGUUUUCAAUCUUGCUUGUAUAGCAAGCCUCGAGCCUUGCUGAAGAAACAAACUCAGAAGCAAGAACAGAAACACAUGCGAAUGAAAAACAAAAGAAAUUGAGAGAGAGAGUAUUUUGAAUGAAAAGAGCUGAUAUUUCAUUAACAAAUCCAGAAGGCAUAAUGCCAUUACAUAUAAUAGAUAACAACAACAAAAUGAACAAGUCUUUACCUAAUGACAUACCUAACACCACUAAAUUUACAUUGGAAAUUGUUAAUCAGCUUGCUUAAGUUUCUUUGCUGAUUUUUUCAGUCAAUCAAUCAACAAAAAACAUCAUAAGGUUUACCAACUUAGUUCAACAUGAACUAGAUUACAAAAUAAUAAUUAAAAAUACAAUCAAAACAUAACAAGUAGUUAGGCAACUUUAAGCUCCAGUUUCUGCACUUCAUAGCUCGACUGCUUGCUGCCACUUCUCCUUGCAUGGCCACCUUUGCAUGUCUUGCAUGGGAACUAAAUUCAACAAAACUCCUUCUGCCACUCGAAACAAUGACCAUUCCAAACAUUUUGAUAGACAAUACACAAUUUGCUUCACUACUUACUCACAUAGCCAAAAAAUAUCCAAUGAAACUGGCAAAGGGUUCUUCCAAAAUGGUACAUUAGCUGCCAAAAAGACAACCACCAUAUAUUCCUUCAUUCAGUAAACAGCUUCAAUAUGGAAAUAAGUUAUUAUCUUAAAAAUGCUUUUUCUACCACAGAAGAAUAAGAACUAGGCAUCUCAGAAAAUUUGCUAAAUUAAUGACUUUGCUCCCUUCAAAAUAAACAAAUGAUUAACUGCAUUAUCCCAAAGAGGUCACCAUCAACCUCCAGUUGAACUUUCAAGGAAUAAUAAUAAAAAAUAGAAGGAAAUAAGGGGGAAAAAACCCAACCAGAACUCAGUAAUAGCUGAGCCUUGAAGAUCUGUAGGUAGUAAGAGAAAAACCCCAUGACGACUAAAGUCCAGGCUUGAAAGAACCAAAAGGGAGCAACAUAUGACUAUGAUUCACUGGACCAAGAGAAUCACCAAUGAAUAAAGGAAAAAGGGUACUUUCCUUUAUACCUAAACAUACAAUAUUUAGCCUCAAAAUGGGAAAAUUUCAGGUUUUCACAAAGGGUUUAAGAAAGAGGGUGAAAGUUAAAGAACUUGUCUUUGUUUUGAUGUGUGGUACACGAGAUAGUGAAGGAAAAUAGAGGUGAGGAAAUAAGAUGGAGUAAGUGCCUAAGUGGUGAAAAAGGAGAGCCUAAAAGAGACAUUUUUGAAGGGUAGUUUAGAAGCUGCAGAGGCUUUGGCAUACAGCAGCUGAUAAUGAGAGAAGACAAACCAGAAAUGUAAGUACGACGACGAUAAAAAUUAAAAAAUUUUAAGAAUUAAUGAAAUAAAAUUUUGUAGCUUAGCGAAUUGGGACGAAGUCCACCAGUGUGAUGCCCAUAGAUCCAUACCUGGGAUUUUUCUAUUUGGGCUAACUUUCUAACUUCUCCCACCAGUCUUAAAACUUUGCAGAUUUUUUCAAUUUGAUCUGGAUUGUAUGAUAACAUAUCACUUUGAGAUUGGAAAAAAAAUUAUUUUUUUUAAAUUAGAGAAAAAAUAAAGAAACUAAAUUUCAAGCAUGCAAAGUACAAAAGAAAGAACUGUAUUAAUAAAAGAUGAGUUACUUCACUCAGAUUGGAGUACCCUUUAAACAAGUUUAUUCUUGUAGAGAAAGAAACUGGAUUUUGAUUUCAUUUGCUGUGGCAAAAUUUUUAAUUUCAACAACAGUAUAACAUAUUGAAAGCCUGCCUACAUCUCGGCAGAAAAAUUUACAAAUUCUUUCAUCAGACAAUUUAAAUGAUGCAAUGCAAAGAUUCAUCAAUGUAUGAUCUUUUUAUCAUAAAUGGCUGUUUUACUGGAAAACUUGAUAUGUACUGUCUUUCACAUUCUUUUGUGCUGAAUGGUCUCUGAAAACUGCAAUCAUCAACUAUAGAUAACCCAUUCCUCAGCGCCGCCAGAGCCGACCUUGUUGUUUCUGUUCUUGAACUUGCCUGUGUCAUCAAAGGCAGUGAGCAUUUAUCAAUGUUAUAAAAAUGGCAUAUCGAAGUCAGAUUUUACUUGACAAUACACAAAUGUAAGAAGAUAAUUCACCUUUGAUACUCUUUAGAACGCUCGAGAAACUCUUUCGCGAUGUCUUUUCUUUAAUAUGAUUGCAAUACUUGUCUGAUAUCAGCCGGACCAUUGUGUUAGUACAAAACUCCGGUAAGGAAAAAAACUCGAACACACGAUCGGAACUCGAAAAGAAAAAGAAGAAAUAGGACAGGCUCCAAGGCGUGUAUCAAGCCACUAUCUUUAAGGUUAUAUUCGCCCCCACUUAUCUUCAGUGUGCAAACGAGUUCCAAGCAAAUUAACCUCGAGGAUACAAUGAAGCCAAUGACUAUUUGCGUUUUGCACUGACGAGAAUAGUCCACUAUACACUAAGUAAUGUAUAACAAAAACUCAAUUUCUACAAAGGAUUUCUGCAGCAAUACUUUAUAGAAUAAUCUAAUAAUAUUAGAAAAUGAAGGAAGAGAAGAAAUAAUAUUAGAAUUUGUUGAUAUGAUUUCCAAAUGAAAUCCCAUUCCUAUUUAUAGGAAUUUUCAUGUCUCUUCAUAGAGACAUCUUUCAAUAGGUGUCUUUAUGAAUAAAUAAAUAAUAAUAAUUAUUCAUUUAAUUUUGUAACUAUUCAAAUAAUAUUUUUUGAAUAGUUAUAAUUCUUUUUUAAAAAAUCAAAUGAUAUAACUUUUGACCAAUGACCAAAAGUUUUAUCUUUUGAUUAAUUACACCCAUUCAUUUAUAGUUAUUGGGAUACUAUAAAUAUUUGAAAAUAUUCCAACAAUCUCCCCCCAUUUUCAAAAUAUUUAGAUUUUGAUAUUCUUGGAAAUCAAUUUGCAUAAAUAAAGGUGUCUUACGAUUGAACCUUCACUUAGUGAAAACAUGUUAAAGUUAAUCGAAAUUGUAUGGUAGACUAAGCUUUGAACCAACUAUUCCAUUUGAUUAAUUGAACACAUCUCACACAAUGAUUUCAACAUCAGUCAAUGCAUAGUAUCUAGGGACACUAUUAUAGCCAUGUGUCUAUGUCCUCUUUUCAUGAGUGCUGUCAGAGCCAAGCCCUUAAGCUCCUAGAAGCGGCCACACUUCCACUCACAUAGGUAGAUCCCAUCAAAAGUGUUCCCGUAAUUAUAACACUCUAACAUAUUUAUGUUAUGGGUCCAUUAAGAGUAAAUUACUCAUCCUUCCCUUAUCAUUACGGGUACCUAGCACUUUAAUCUUAGGAUGGAUUUAUUUAUAGUGCUAACAGUCACAUACUAAUGAUGUACUUUGUCUCAUUGAACUCAAGACUUGACGUUAUACCAAGCAUUGAGUCGAGUUUCCAUCAUGGGUGACUCUAAUUAAUAGGCUUGAGUCCCAUCCCUUUUGAGGUCCUUUUUACUGCAUCUCUAGCAAGACUUUUUGUCAAAGGAUCUGCCAAAUUUUCACUUGACCUCACAUAAUUAAUAGUGAUCACUCCAUCAGAGAUUAAUUGUCGGACAUAACUAUGUCUUAAUCCAAUGUGUCUAGACUUUCCAUUAUAUACUUGGCUAUAUGCCUUUGCUAGAGUAGCCUCACUAUCACAACGGAUAGAAAUAGGUGAAAUUGGCUUAAGCCAUAAACGUACAUCAUAAAGCAAAUUUCUUAACCAUUCUGCUUCUUUAGAUGCAGCGGCUAAUGCAAUAAAUUCUGCUGCCAUGGUGGAAUCAGUAAUACAUGUUUGUUUCUUGGAACCCUAAGAAAUGACUCCUCCACCAAGAAUGAAGAUCCACCCACUAGUAGAUGCAUGAUCUUCCAAACUUGUAAUCCAACUAGCAUCCGAAUACCCUUCUAAAACUGGAGGAUAUCCAUUAUAACACAAUCCAUAGUUAAUAGUUUUCUUUAAGUACCUAAGUACUCUAUUUAAAGCUUGCCAAUGCAAACUACUUGGAUUAUUUGUGUAUCUACUCAAUUUUCCAAUAGCAUAUGCAAUAUCUGGUCUUGUACAAGUCAUUAUGUACAUAAGAAAACCAAUUGACUUGCAUAUUUCAAUUGAUCAAUUUUCCUACCAGCAUUAGAUACUAAUUUUAAUUGAGGAUCCAUGGGUGUAGAUACUGGUAUACAGUUGAAAAUAUCAAACUUUUUAAGCACAUUUUCAAUGUAAUGUGAUUGUGAUAAAGCUAUAGUGCUUUCAUCUCGGGUUAUUUUAAUCCCAAGAAUAACAUCUUCUACACCCAUAUCCUUCAUAGCAAAGUUGUUUGACAAGAAUUUCUUUGUGUUUUCUAUUUGUUCCAAAUCCGUGCCAAAAAUGAGCAUGUCAUCUACAUAUAAGCAAAUUAUAACACCCUUUCCAUUAUCAAAUUUACUAUAUAUGCACUUAUCGGAUUCAUUUAUUUAUAGCCAUUAGCUAAAACAACCUUGUCAAACUUUUGGUGCCAUUGUUUUGGUGCUUGUUUAAGCCCAUAUAAAGAUUUAACAAGCUUACAUACCUUAUGCUCUUGUCCUGGAACAACAAAUCCUUCCGGUUGCUCCAUGUACACUUCCUCUUCCAAUUCACCAUUUAAAAAUGCAGUUUUAACAUCCAUUUGGUGAACAACCAAAUUAUAUAUAGAGGUAAGUGAUAUUAAUAGUCUAAUUGUAGCAAUUCUUGCUACUGGAGCAUAGGUAUCAAAGUAAUCAAUACCUUGUCUUUGUGUAAAACCUUUUGCUACCAACCUUGCUUUAAAUUUAUCAAUGGUUCCAUCGACCUUCAUUUUCUUUUUGAAGAUCCAUUUACAACCUAUUGGUUUGGAACCUGGUGGAAGAUCAACUAAGAUCCAAGUUUGAUUUCCCAUUAUUGAAUCCAUUUCAUCAUUUAUUGCUUCUUUCCAAAAAGUAGAGUCUUGAGAUUUCACUGCUUCUUCAAAUGUAACAGGAUCAGAUUCGGUAUUAUAACAAUAAGGUAUCUUAUUGCAUAUACUUUCACCUUUUCCUUCUAUAAGAAACAUAAUGAAAUCUGGUCAAAAAUCUUUGACCUUUUUAAUCCUCUUACUUCUUCUUAAUUCUUGACAAGAUUCAUCAUUAUUAUCAAUUUGUUUCAAUGGAAUCUCAUUCUCAUUUGAAGAAUGAAUCAAUUGUUGUGGUUGUAAUUGUCUUGAUAUAGAAUUAAAUCUAUUUUCAUCAAAAAUAGCAUCUCUUGAUUCAAUAACCGUAUUAAUUGAAAUUGAAUCAUUUGGUUCAAUUACUAUGAACCUAUAUGCCUUGCUAUUAUGUGCAUAACCUAUAAAUAUGCAUUCAAUUCCUCUUUCACCUAACUUUUUACGUUUAGGUGUUGGAACUUUUACAAUAGCUCUACAACCCCAAACCUUUAAAUAAUUAAGGUUUGGUUUCCUUUUCUUCCAUUGUUCAUAGAGGGUUAUUUUAGUUUCCUUAUUAGGAACUCUAUUCAAUAUAUGACAAGCUGUUAGAACAGCUUCUCCCCAAAAACCCUGUCCAAGACCUGAAUAUGAUAACAUUGAAUUUACCAUUUCAAUCAAGACUCUAUUUUUCCUUUCAGCUACACCAUUUUGUUGUGGUGUGUAAGGGGCUGAAACUUGAUGGACAAUUCCAGUGAGUUCAAAAUAACUUGGAUUAUAGUAUUCUCCACCUCUAUCCGAUCUUAAGCACUUGAUAAAUGAUUCACACUGAAGUUCAACUUCAGAUUUAUAAACUUUAAAUUUAUCAAGCGCUUCAUCUUUUGAAUGCAAUAAAUAUACAUAACAAUAUCUAGAACAAUCAUCAAUAAAAGUAACAAAAUAUUUCUUUCCACCUAAUGUAGGAGUAUUAUGCAAGUCACAUAAAUCACUAUGUAUCAAAUCAAGCAAUUUUGUUUUCCUUUUAACCUUAGGGAAAGGAUUUCUUGUAAUUUUAGUCAACAUACAGGUAUUGCAUUUUUCAAUAUUAUUAUUAAAAACAGGAAUUAAAUCUAAUUUAUACAUGUCAUUCAAUUUUCUAUAAUUCAAAUGACCUAAUCUAUAAUGCCACAAACAAAAUGAUUCAACCAUAUAAGCAGAAAUAGUAUUUUUAUUCUUAUUAAUAAUAUUAAGUUUGAACAUGCUUUCAUACAUAUACCCUUUUUCCCACAAAAAUUCCUCCCUUAGACAAAAUAAACUUAUCUGCCUCAAAAACAAGUUUGAAACCAAACUUAUUCAACAGACUUCCAGACACUAAAUUUUUCCUAACUUCUGGUACAUAAUAUACAUCAUUUAAGGUUAAAACCUUUCCAGAAGUGAAUUGUAGUUCAACAGACCCUUUGCCUUUAAUUUGCGGUGGAAGAAUUUCCCAUGUACAAGACAUUGUCAUUUUCACAUUGUGUGACUUUGUGAACAUGCUUUUGUCUUUGCACACAUGUUUGGUUGCUCCGGUAUCAAUCCACCAUGUAUUAUCAUCUUGUACCAUAUUAAUUUCAGAUAUCAUUGCAACGAACUUUUCGUUAUUAUCAGCCUUAGAAGAUGAUUUCUUCUUUAAAAAUCGAUAUUCAUUCUUGAAAUGUCCCGGCUUUCCACAAUGAUAGCAUGAGCCCUUUUGUUUCUUUUUGAACUUAGGUGCUCUAUCAGCCUGAUUGAACUUUCUUUUGAAUGGUUUAGUAGUCUGUACUUCCUCCGUAACAUGUACUUUGGCAUUUUCAGAAUUUAGGUUCUGAUCUUGUUGUCGAUACUCUUCUUCAAUACGAAGAUGAUUUGCCAAAGCCUCAAGAGAUAUUUCCUCUUUCUUAUGUUUUAGACUUCUUUUAAAGUCUUUCCAAGAUGGAGGAAGUUUGUCUAUUAUAGAGGAUACCACAAUUAUUUCAUCCAUUUUCAUAUCAUAUUGCUUAAAUUGAUUCAACAUCUUUUCAAUAUCACGAAAUUGUUCCAUAACAGAACGACCAUCAACCAUUUGAUAAUUAUUGAAACGACUGACAAGAAAUUUCUUACUUGUAACAUCUUCGGUCAUGUAUCUUGCCUCCAAUUUGUCCCAUAAAUCUUUAGCGGUGACGUCGUUUUGGUAGGUGUCGAACAAACCAUCAGAUAAACCAUUCAAUAUGUGGCCCAUGCACAUGUAAUCAGCAUUGUCCCAUUUUUGUCUUUCUCGGGUUGCAGCAAUAGAUUCGUUUUCAUUCUCUUCAGGUCUUGGAGUAUCCAAAACAUAAGCAAUCUUCAAAGUUGAUAACAAAAAGUGCAUCUUUUUCUGCCAUCGUCGAAAAUUGCCACCAUCAAAACGAUCAAGUUUAACAAAGUUGGAAGCCAACUCCCUUAGUGUUCCACUUUCAUGUGUUGUGGUAGUCAUCAUGAAAUAUAACCUUAAAAUUGUUAGUACAAAACUCCGGUAAGGAAAAAAACUCGAACACACGAUCGGAACUCGAAAAGAAAAAGAAGAAAUAGGACAGGCUCCAAGGCAUGUAUCAAGCCACUAUCUUUAAGGUUAUAUUCGCCCCCACUUAUCUUCAGUGUGCAAACGAGUUCCAAGCAAAUUAACCUCGAGGAUACAAUGAAGCCAAUGACUAUUUGCGUUUUGUACUGACGAGAAUAGUCCACUAUGCACUGAGUAAUGUAUAACAAAAACUCAAUUUCUACAAAGGAUUUCUGCAGCAAUACUUUAUAGAAUAAUCUAAUAAUAUUAGAAAAUGAAGGAAGAGAAGAAAUAGUAUUAGAAUUUGUUGAUAUGAUUUCCAAAUGAAAUCCCAUUCCUAUUUAUAGGAAUUUUCAUGUCUCUUCAUAGAGACAUCUUUCAAUAGGUGUCUUUAUGAAUAAAUAAAUAAUAAUAAUUAUUCAUUUAAUUUUGUAACUAUUCAAAUAAUAUUUUUUGAAUAGUUAUAAUUCUUUUUUAAAAAAUCAAAUGAUAUAACUUUUGACCAAUGACCAAAAGUUUUAUCUUUUGAUUAAUUACACCCAUUCAUUUAUAGUUAUUGGGAUACUAUAAAUAUUUGAAAAUAUUCCAACACAUUGCGGGCUACAUCUGUGAACAAAUCAAAACAAAUGGUACUAUAAUCAACAAAUGAAUAUAGGAAACAUAAAAUUUGAACAAAGGCGAUGUGCAGAGGAAAAAGCAACAACAUAAGACUUACAUUCAAGAAAUGGAAUAAGGUCUAAAAGUGCGGUAUCAUCAGUCUCGACCUUAUAUGGCUUAAUAUGGACACAAUUUUCUGGUUGAAGGCUAGAAUCAAAUGCAUGAGCACUCACAUAUAAAAUCUUGGUUGGAUCCCUGUUUAGCUUUGAAAGAUCCUGCCAACAGGAACUAUUUGUUAACAAUAAGGCUUCUUUUUAAGUAGCAGCUUGUAAAGGCACUGUCUCAUAUAUUAAUUCACAUAGUAUUGUAGAAACUAAGGAGGAGAAAACCAAAAGCAAAAUGUUUUGAAGGGAAGAGAUUGACUAUGACAUGGUAAAAGUAUCAUGGAGGCCCCUAUGUUAGGAGUUAGAUUGCCUUUUGCCCCCUUUACUCAAAAACUGGAUAAAUUAGUCCCUAUAUGUUAGAUUAAAGAGUAAGCUAGACUUUCUGUUAAAAAUUUCAUCCAUUGCUACUGUUAAAAACUGGUGCAGUUGAUAAAAUAACCAAACAGUUACACAUAAUGUGUCACGUGUACCUCAUGCUAAUGUAUAUGGACCAAUUUUUAACAGUAGAAAUGGAUGGAACUUGUAACAGAAGGGCUGGUUUGCUUUUUAAUCUAAUUUACAGGGAUUAAUUUGCCCAUUUUUUUAGUAAAGGGGUGAAAUGCAAUAUGACUCCUAGUAUAAGGGCCUCCAUGGUACUUUUACCACUAUGACAUACUCUAUAAUGCUUGCCAUCCUGAUAUUUAGUAGCACCCCUUGAUAGCCUAUAUCGUAUACAAUGGUUAGUGUCCAACCUUUCACAAGCAGGAUCAACAUACCGCAUAGCCAAAAACAAAAUAAUUAUGAACUUGCAGGCAACAUCAGUUAUAGUAUAUCUGAAAAAGAUAAGGAAAAAAAACUGUUACUUUCAUAUCUAAUUUCUUUAUAGUAUUAGGACAAACUAAACAAUGGAUAUAUCACAUUAUUAAGACUUAGCUAAGGAGCCGCUGAUAUACAUUCAAAUGAUCAAUCAUAAAGGAUGAACUAGGAGGCCUAAUGAUAAAUCAAAAUUACACCUAAACCAGUUAUAUGUCUAAAGGCAAUUGCACAUUAUAUCAAUCAAACAACUAAAAUAAAUAGAGAAAAUCCUUUAAAAUAUUCAAUUUCUAAACAAAAUCAAACUCACAUCAAUAGCAGAUCUUGACAAAGAAACCCAAAAUCACAAAUGAUCCUAUCUUUUUAAAAGGGGAAAAAGAAAACUUACUAUAAGAGAGAUAACCAGCAUAGCCAGUAGUUCCAGUAACACCUGCAAUGAGUCCGUACUUGACAAAGCUCUAAAUUUUCCCUCCCGAAACCUGUGGGGCAACUUUCGGCGCCAGAGGAGGAGGUGUCGACUGAUCGGAGAGAAUGGAUUGUGAAGAACAAUCCAAACUUAAUUUACAAGCAAUGUGGAAAUUUUGGACGUUGCAGUAUUGACUACGUUUACUUGAGGGAAAACAAAGACAUGAAUGCUGGAAAUUUUAACUAGUUUGUACGGUCAAUGAAGCUACCUCGAAUGUUAAAUAUGUUACUCUGCAAUGCCAUUGUAAAUAUGACUGUUAAAUUUGUUGAUAGCGGAAUUGUUCCACUCAAGUUAUUGUGGGACAAAUCAAGAAUUUGAAGAAAAGUGACAUUGCAUGUUAAACAAGAGACCUCUCCAUUGAAACUAUUAUUUGAGAUCAGAAAGACAUUGAUUGUCGAAGCUGGAAUCGGAAGAUUUCCACGGAUCAAAUAGGAGCUUAAGUCAAGAACUACAAUAUUCUUCCAUGGAAAGUGCAAAACUUCUGUCAAAGAGUUGCUGUAAUUGGAUUAAUCUCAUCGUUGCUGCAAUCUUUUGACAAAUCGAAUCUUAAAUAUGUUACUCUGCAACGCUAUUGUAAAUGUUACUCUUAAAUAUUACUCUGUAACUAGAUUGAUGGCUCAAUCUUGUUUUUAACAUUGUUAUGGGUAUUACUACUUUCAUGCUUUGAUACGCGAUACCCUCUUUCUAGGUGACAUUUUUGCUCCUUCCGGGCCACCAUGGGCUCUCUGCAUCACUCACCAACCUCAUUAGAUUCCCCGGGUGCCAUUUGGCCAUCUCAAGUCUCAAAAUAGCAUCAAAAUGCACUCUAAUAAUUUAUUAAUAUAAAGAACUAAAACAAAAUAAAAACACAACAAAGAUAUCUAAAUUGCACGAAAAUAAGCUUUUAAGUGUGAUGGAGAGUCUAAUUUGACAUAUCAAUUAAUGUUUGACUAUCUCCAUCUCACUUUUUAUUAAUUAAGGAAUAUGAAUUAGAAUUAAUAUAAACUUACUAUUUUAACAUUUCAUAAGCAAAAGCUAAAAUAAUAUUGGUCACAUCCCAUAUCUUCAUAUAUAGCUUAUCAGACAAAAGUUAAAACAGCCUUCAGUUCAUCUACAUUCUACAUUCCACGUCGAAUCUGCAAGCAUCAAAUAUUAACCUUUGAACUCCAAAAUAACAACACCAAUUUCCAGCAAUUGCAGAAGAAUGUCCAAUAAUUCCACACAAAUUAACAACAAUUUGCCAGCAUCCACUACAUUCGUAUGAAUUCCACACAAAUUAAGACUGGAAACUCUAACUUGUUCAUACCCUCAAUGAAGCUACCUAAAAGUUAUGAAUUCCACUGCAAAUUUUGUAUUGCUUGGAAUGAAUUGACUGUAAUUUCCUAUUACUUGCCACAAAAUUUUCUUUUACUGCUAACUUGUAAAAAAAUUAUGAAAAUACAACAGAGAUCAUUGAGACAUUUUGUUCUCCUUUCUCCUUUACUGAGCAGUAGCAAAGAUUAUCGAGACUAAAUUGAAAGUCAUGAAAGAAGACAUAAACAACACCACCAUACAAAAUGUUACACUCAAACAAACCAUUACAGAUAGUACGAAAUGCAAUGAAAGACACAGGAAUUGGUACAACAAUAAAGACAGACACAUACCAAUGCAACCCUUCACCAUAGGCAAAACGGUCUACAGAAUAAGAAAUUAUGAAAAUACAACACUAAUUCUUGAACAUCAUUUCCAGUAAUUAGAUCCUUCUUCGUCUAUUGCUUCGAUUGCCUUUCUUUGACUUUCUUCUUCGCCUCAUCUCUUGUUGGUUUUCAACCAAAUUCACCAACCAUUUCGGCUUACCAAUUUGGAAAACAACAUAUCCCACGGACAUUCCGAACACCACUCUGCAUCCAUAACCUAUCAACACCACUUUCCAACCAAAAGCAAUGUUUGAUUUUGAGCCAUCUUUUUCAAGCGCAUUUGGAGGUGCUGGCUCAAUGAUGUUGCAACCUUUCGAGACCGGAAACCCACACAGUCCAUUAUUCCCUUCAUAUGAAUCAUUUCCAAAUGUGUUGAAUUGUUUUCCUUGAGGAAUCUGACCAUGGAGUUGAUUUUCAGCGACAUUGAAGGACGAAAGAAAUGGCAGAUCUGCCAAUCUAUUUGGAAUCGUCCCAGACAACCUGUUUGAAGAUAGGUCCAACCAUUCAAUACUUGUCAAAUUCCCUAUUGAUGUGGGAUACCACCAUUAAGGUUAUUAUGAGAAAGGUUGAGCCCUUUCAGUAAGUUAAGCUUCCCAAAAACCUUUGGAAUACCCCCUUCAAACUGAUUGUUUGAUAGAUCAAUGAUCAUCCACAUGGUGAAAAUUUUCACCAAUUCCAUAUAUUGUCCUUUCAUAACAGUUCCGAUGGAAUAGGUAUAGAAGCCAUUACCUCUCGGAACAUACAUCCCCAUGUACGACAUUGUACUCCCAAUCUUCUCUAGAUUUAUGAUACCCUUGAAGCUGUUGAUGUAUCUCACUGGUAGGGGUCCAGAAAAAUAAUUACUUGAGAGAAAAAAAAUUUGGAUUUUAGAGAAAAAAGGGCUAGACUUGGAGCUAUUGUCACAUAAGGAACCAUGCAUAUGAUUUGACUUCAAUACAAGAACUUGUAGCUGUGGAAGACUUCCCAACCAAUGAGGAAAUGUAUCAUUGAUCUUGUUCUUCUUCAGAUUCAAGAAUUGAAGGCUGUAGCUCAAAUUUUCAAAACAUUGCGGAAUUGUUCCGCUCAAGUUAUUGUGGGACAAAUCACGAAUUUGAAGAAAAGUGACAUUGCAUAUUAAAGAAGAGACCUCUCCAUUGAAACUAUUAUUUGAGAUCAGAAAGACAUUGAUCGUCGAAGCUGGAAUGGGAAGAUUUCCACGGAUCAAAUUGGAGCUUAAGUCAAGAACUGCAAUAUUCUUCCAUGGAAAGUGCUCAACUUCUGUCAAAGAGUUGUGAGAUACAUUUAAGUCAAAGAGCCAUUGCCCACCUCUUGCAUCCACUGUGGAAUCUUGCCUUCAAUUUUGUUGCAAGAGAGGUCCAAGCUUUCCAAACUUUUAAGCCCUUAUAAAAACUGGGGGAAUUCACUAAGAUUGAAAGAUGACAAACGUAAGUCUAUAAGAUUAGACAAUAUAUGGUUAACACAAGAAGUAGUAUUAAAUGUUAAGGAUAGGCUGUUAUAUGAAAGGUCGAGAAGUUUUAGAGUUGGAAGGUUUGAGAACAUGCGAAACUCUAUGACACCACUAAGAUUAUUUGAGGAUAAAAGGAGGUGGGUAAGAUUGAGAAGUUGGAAUAUUGAAGAUGGAAGAGGACCUUGGAGUUUAUUAUUGUUUAACCUUAUCAAUUCUAGUGUUUUGGAUUGGAAUUCUUUGAUAUGCCCACUGAAUUGUUUUUAGAGAGAUCUAUUGUUUAACCACGUUAUUUUUCAGUGACGGAUCGAGAAAUAAAACUUAGGGGGAGCAGGGGCGAAGUUAGAAAAUUAGUUUGGGGUAAUCGAAAUUAAAUUAUAUAUUUUUAUGAUAGUAAAAAUAGAAUUUCGUCAUUUUAAUAGCCUAUAUCUUUAUAAUUUUUAGAGGAUUAAAUUAAUUUUUUAUCAUUUGAGGGGGGCAAAGUGCAAUUUUACCGUUAUUAAUUUAAAAUUUUAUAAAUUAUAAAUGGCCUAAAUUUUAAAAAAAAAAUCAUUUUAGGGGGUUGAGACCCUGUCAGCCCUCUCCCUAGACCCACCCCUAGUCUUUUUGAUACAAUUUGGCAGUUUAAGUACUUAAUUAGUGCAAAAAAAAAAAAACUAGGGGCUCAAUAGCUUUUUUUUGAAAAAGUUUGAGAGCCUUUUUGAUCCAUUUUGGCAGUUCAAAUGCCCAAUUCAGUGCAAGAAAAGAAGUAGGGGCUUAAUUAUUUUUUUUUAAAAAAAGUUUGAGAGCCUUUUUACACCAUUGAACCUUUUUUAUACUAAUUGGUAGACGCGAAGUUAUAAAUAUUUAAUUGUUAAUGUAAUUUUUAGAAUUUCUAAAGAAUAAUAAUAUUUAAAAUCUUAUAAUUUUUUUUAUUUCAUGUGCAUAAAAAACUUAAAUAAAUAAGUGUUUAGAUUUAGAUUAAUCACGCUGUCCAUUUAUUCAUAUUCAUUCUAGAGGUAUAACUUUUAGUUAUUUUAUAUGUUUUUAUAAUUAAAAAUAAUGGUAUAAAAGUCGAUUAAGUUUUAGCUCAAUUGACAUAGACAUUGUUGUUGAGGAGGACCUAUUGGUAGUUCUAGGCAUUGUGUCAAAAUGAACUAUAUUUGAUAAGAACCUAUAAUGAAAUUAAUGUUAAAAAAAUAAUAGUAUAAAAAGCUAAUAUUUUUAUAAAAGUUUCAUUUUUUUUUCAGUUUUUGGAUUUUUCUCAUAUAAAAUUUUAGAAUUGUUUCUUGAAUUUUUAUAGCUUUUCUUAUUAUGAUGUUAUAUAAUUUUAGAUUUUUAUACAUCUUUAAUAUUUUUUUAGUUUUUUAUUGUUUCUCAAAUAAUGCUUGGUUGAUGUAGCUUGCCAAGUGGUAUCGUGUUAUUGGCUGUCAAUUUCAAUAAUAAAAAAAUUUGGAGUUGAUUAGUUAUGAACUAACUCGAUUAAUCAAUUCUAAAUUUAAGUACUAAUUAAGUCCAAAAAAAGUUCAAAUUUCAAUUCAUGCAAGUUGGAUGGCAAUGAAACGGGAUUGGGGUGCGAAUAUUGUCAAAUUCACUAUUGUUUCAUAGUUGAUGUGUUUUGUCCCAUCACUCACCCCCGCUCCACUAUGGAUGUUUAAUUUUGAAAACCACUCACCCCAUGGAUGUUGGAUGCAUCCAUCCCUGCUUCACGUCGUGCCAUUUCAAUUUAAUUUUUAUUAGUUUUUUUAAAAAUAUUUUCAAUUUUUUUUUAAUUUUAAAAUAUUUUCAAUCUUUUUAAAACUUAUAAAUAUUUAAACAUAAUUAUUCAAGAAAAACAUUUAAACAUAAAACAUAUGAGUUUUUUAUAACAUAUUUUUACCCUUUAAUAGUUAUAAAUAUACAAGGGUCGAAUAGUAAUUUCAAAUAGUGAAAUAGAGUGGAUUGGGACAAACAAUUACCAUAACUGCUACACUUAAUCAUCGUAAAAAAAAAAAAAAAAAAUCUAUUUCAUCCCCGCCCAUAUUCCCUUUUAAAAGGAUCUACUCUAAAUGAAACAAACCAAUUCAAAAUCCAUUUAACAUCCUAAAUUCUAAAACUAAUUUUGAUAUGAAGUCUCAAUUAAAUUCAAGUAAUAAGGUUUUUUGAUAUGGUUUACACUACUAACUUCUAUAUGAAAACAACAACCAUUUCCCAUGAUGUUUGCGGCUUACCAACAAAUCCUUGCAGAUUUUCAACGUAGAAGAAAAUCAUGAAAAUAAAAAAAAAAAAAAAAAAAAAACUCUGGUUGGGAUUUGUUUCAUAUGGAAAACAGAAAACAAAACUUAAGUUAGUCAAAAUUACCAACUCACUGCUGACAACAUUUUUGUUGUAACCAAACAUUUGGAAGAAAAUAAACACAAGAGCACGCCGUUGACCUGUAUUUCUUUUAUUCUUCAAUUCUAUUUCAUCUUUAAGCUGUAACCAAUGAUAAUCAAAUCUUGACUUGCAUAAAAACCAAAGAAAACAAAAUGAAUGCAGCAGAAUUUUCUACCACAAAUGAGUAGUAAUUUACAGAUAAUAAAAUUAUCGAAAAACUAUUGAGAGUCGAAUUUCAUAUUAAUUGUGGUAUCCAUGAACUAGAAUGUAUUAAAAAAAGAAGGAUAUUGACCUUGAGACUACUUGCAAUUUUCAAAAACACUCUCAAUUCCUCUCCCCCUCUUCGGGCACCGGCCCAAGAUCCUGCCAUUGGCUACCACGCCGGCCGCUAGUCGCCAGCGCCGGCGCCGUGCAUGGAGGAGGAGAGUCCAAAAAUAUCCUUUUUUUUUUCUCACAUGCAGAUCCUCGGCCUCCAAACACUCCGACGACGGCUACAAAGGUAAAAAGGCCUCUCAUUUUUUAUUUUUAUAAUGCUUCAAAAUAAAAAAAUAAAAAAAAGGGAAAAAAUCACCUUUAAAAAAAACUGAUUCCUGUUUUUUAUUUCUCUUUGUUUUUUUUUUUCCAAAAGAGAACUCCCUUAAUUUUUCAUCUUUUUUAGCCCUUAAACCUACGUUGUUUAUCAAUAACCUUAAACUUACAUUGUUUACCGGAUGAAAAAUUUAAUAUUUAUUAACUUUGCUAAGGUGCACAUAUGCAAUUUAUUUAAAUCUAAAAACUAUAAAAUAUCUUAAAAUUAAAACUAAAAGUUUUUAAACUACUUGAUUGCUCCUUUCUCCUUUACUGAGCAGUAGCAAAGAUAAUCGAGACUAAAUUGAAAUCCAUGAAAGAAGACAUAAAACACCUCCAUACAAAGUGUCACACUCAAACAAACCAUUACAGAUAGUACGAAAUGCAAUGAAAGACAGAGGAAUUGCUACAAUAACAAAGACAGACACAUACCAAUGCAACCCUUCACCAUAGGCAAAACAAGAAAUUAUGAAAAUACAACACUAGUUCUUGAACAUCAUUUGCAGUAAUUAGAUCCUUCUUCGUCCACUGCUGCGAUUGCCUUUCUUUGACUUUCUUCUUCGCCUCUUCUCAUGUUGGUUUUCAACCAAAUUCACCAACCAUUUCGGCUUUCCAGUUUGGAAAACAACAUAUCCCACCAGCAUUCCGAACACUACUCCGCAUCCAUAACCUAUCAACACCACUUUCCAUUCAAAAGCAAUGUUUGAUUUUGAGCCAUCUUUUUCAAGCACAUUUGGAGGUGCUGGCUCAAUGAUGUUGCAACCUUUCGAGACCGGAAAUCCACAUAGUCCCUUAUUUCCUUCAUAUGAAUCAUUUCCAAAUGUGUUGAAUUGUUUUCCUUGAGGAAUCUGACCAUGGAGUUGAUUUUCAGAAACAUUUAAGGACGAAAGAAAUGACAGAUCUGCCAAUCUAUUUGGAAUCGUCCCAGACAACCUGUUUGAAGAUAGGUCCAACCAUUCAAGACUUGUCAAACUCCCUAUUGAGGAGGGGAUAUCACCAUUAAGGUUAUUAUGAGAAAGGUUGAGCCCUUUCAGUAAGUUAAGCUUCCCAAUAACCUUUGGAAUACCCCCUUCAGACUGAUUGUUUGAUAGAUCAAUGAUCAUCCACAUGGUGAAAAUUUUCACCAAUUCCCUAUCUUGUCCUUUCAUGACAAUUCCAAUGGAAUAGGUAUAGAAGCCACUACCUCGAGAAUCAUUCACCCCCAUGUACGACACCGUACUACCAAUCUUUUCUAGAUUUAUGAUAGCCUUGAAGCUGUUGAUGUAUCUCACUGGUAGGGGUCCAGAAAAAUAAUUACUUGAGAGGUCAAAAAUUUGGAUUUUAGAGAAAAAAGGGCUAGACUUGGAGCUAUUGACACGCAAGGAACCAUGCAUAUGAUUUGACUUCAAAACAAGAACUUGCAAAAAUGGAAGACUUCCCAACCAAUGAGGAAAUGUAUCAUUGAUCUUGUUGUUACCAAGAUCUAGCACUUCCAGACCAUUACAAUUAAGGAUGGAUGGUGUCAAAGGCCCUUCUAACAGAUUUCCAUUUAAGUUGAAAUUAGUCAGUUGGCAUCCCUUUGCAAAUGUUAGAGGAAUCGUCCCAUAGAACUCGUUCUUCUUCAGAUUGAAGACUUGAAGGAUGUUGCUCAGAUUUCCAAAACAUUGCGGAAUUGUUCCACUCAAGUAAUUGUGGGACAAAUCAAGAAUUUGAAGAUAAGUGGCAUUGCAUAUUAAAGAAGAGACCUCUCCAUUGAAACUGUUAUUUGAGAUCAAAAAGACAUUGAUGGUCGAAGCUGGAAUCGGAAGAUUUCCACGGAUCAAAUUGGAGCUUAAGUCAAGAAAUUCAAUAUUCUUCCAUGGAAAGUGCUCAACUUCUGUCAAAGAGUUGUGAGAUACGUUUAAGUAAGUCAAAGAGUCAUUCCCCACCUCUUGCAUCCACUGUGGAAUCUUGCCUUCAAUUUUGUUGCAAGAGAGGUCUAACCUUUCCAAACUUUUAAGCCCUUUUAAAAACUGGGGGAAUUCACUAAGAUUGCAAGAUGACAAAAAUAAGCUUCUAAGAUUAACAGUAGAUGUAGUAUUAGAUGUUAAGUAUAGGCUGUUAAAUGAAAGGUCGAGAUAUUUUAGAUUUGGAAGGUUUGAGAACAUACGUAACUCUAUGACACCACUUAGAUUAUUUGAGGAUAAAACGAGCAAGGUAAGAUUGAGAAGUUGGAAUAUUGAAGAUGGAAAAGGACCUUGGAGUUUAUUAUUGUUUAGAUAUAAAUGUUCUAGUGAUUUGGAUUGGAAUUCUUGGAUAUGCCCACUGAAUUGAUUUUGAGAGAGAAUUAUAACCUUUAAGGAGGGAGCAGUAUACAACCAUGACGGAAGUGUUCCAUUGAGUAAAUUGUCAGAUAAGCCUAAAUAUAUUAGAUUAGGAAAAGUGGUUACCUCAUCUGGAAUGGAUCCUUCUAAAGAAUUUUCAGAUAUUCCCAAGUAUUCCAGCUGGGUUAGGUUUAGAAUUGACAAUGGAAUUUGUCCACUCAAUUGGUUCUGCGACAAGUCUAAAUGAGUGAGUUGCAAGAGGUUCCCCAAUGAUAUUGGAAUUUGUCCACUCAAUUGGUUCUGCCACAAGUUUAAAUCAGUGAGUUGCAAGAGGUUCCCCAAUGAUCUUGGAAUUUGUCCACUCAAUUGGUUCUGCCACAAGUCUAAAUCAGUGAGUUGCAAGAGGUUGCCCAAUGAUCUUGGAAUUUGUCCACUCAAUUGGUUCUGCCACAAGCCUAAAUUAGUGAGUUGCAAGAGGUUCCCCAAUGAUCUUGGAAUUUUUUCACUCAAUUGGUUCUGCCACAAGCCUAAAUGAGUGACUUGCAAGAGGUUCCCCAAUGAUCUUGGAAUUUUUCCACUCAAUUGGUUCUGCCACAAACCUAAAUCAGUGAGUUGCAAGAGAUUCCCCAAUGAUCUUGGAAUAUUUCCACUCAAUUGGUUCUGCCACAAGCCUAAAUGAGUGAGUUGCAAGAGGUUCCCCAAUGAUCUGCCACAAGCCUAAAUGAGUGAGUUGCAAGAGUUUCCCCAAUGAUCUUGGAAUUUGUCCACUCAAUUGGUUCUCACACAAGUCUAAAUAAGUGAGUUGCAAGAGGUUCUCCAAUGAUCUUGGAAUUUGUCCACUCAAUAGGUUCUGUGACAAGUCUAAAUAAGCGAGUUGCAAGAGGUUCCCCAGUGAUCUUGGACCCGGUCCUGAUAAGUUGGAAUGGGAGAGAUCUAAAACCUUCAAGGACACAAGAUUCCCCAUCCAGUCAGGCAAUCCUCCAAAAAAAUUUGCGCCUCCAAGAAUCAACUACUCCAAAGAUGAUAAAUUUGUGAAUGAGACAGACAAUCCUUGAAAGAAGGAAUUUCCUGAGAGAUCUAAGUACUUUAAGGCCUGUAGAUUAUCAACUGAAUCAAUGAAUUCUGUAGAGAAGGACACGAACGACAGAUCCAAAUGUUCAAGAUUGCUGCUCCGAUUGAACUUCAAAGGAUCAAGAUUGAGGUUUUGGUUGCCUCCCAAGUUGAGGAGAUUGAGGUUUGGCAAAUCAAAAAUGUUUUUUGGGAAUUUUCCUUGCAAAUCACAAAAAGCAAGACUGAGAGACCUUAGAGAAGAGGAUAGAUUCAUGAAGACAUGAGCAUUAACAGAAGACAUGUCCAUUCCAUCCAAAAACAGAUGUCUGACCUCGGUUAGGUUGUGAACAAGUCCCUCCAGAGCAUGUUUGUCAAUUGUUUGUGCAUCACCCCAACAGGAGAGAUCAAGUGAAACCAAUUUUGACAGGUGGGAGACUUGGGAUGGGACUUCUCCUGCAAACCCU